This 66732-nucleotide long non-coding RNA is filed under the name Hordeum vulgare. Its description in RNAcentral is "long non-coding RNA (HVUL_LNC009180)". Lineage: Eukaryota; Viridiplantae; Streptophyta; Magnoliopsida; Poales; Poaceae. The record is from RNAcentral.
GACGACAGACUCGUCACUGACAUUGUCGGUCUGGAAGAUACCCUUGCAGACACCGAUACGGUCGUCACGGGUGGGAGCCCAGUAGAACUUCUCCAUACGACCAUCACGGAUCAGAGGAGCGUAGAGCGUCGAGAAAUCGUUACCGGUGACGACGAUGGGCACACGGGGGUUCUCCUCCUUGUUGUACAUGCCAGGGAGCUGCACGUUGGUGGGGGCAUCGGCGAUGUUCAUCAGGGUGGCGUUCACCAUCUGGUUGUUGACGGUGUACUGCGUGGUUCCGCCCAUCCUACCCGCACCAGCGUCAAGAUCGUUGAUGAAGAGGCAGCACAUCUUACCCUUCUUGAUCAUGUCUGCAGCCUCACGGUACCGCUGCCUGAUGAGCUUGGCUGGCUCUCCAGCGUUCCCACUCUCCAGCUCUCCGGCACUCAUCAUGAUGGGGCUGUGGCAAAAAGCACAGGUCAUUAUCUAUUAUUACUAUUAUCUUAUACUCCCUCUGUUCUUAAAUAUAAGUCUUUUAAGCGAUUUCAUCAAGAAACUACAUACAAAACAAAAAGAAUGAAUCUACACUCUAAAGUAUGUCUAUAUACAUCCGUAUGUAGUCCUUUAGUGAAAUCUCUAAAAUGACUUAUAUUAUGGAACGGAGGGAGUAGUAUUUCUUUAGGGAGGAAGUAGAUGAAUGUAAAUUCUUACUUGAUGCCCAUCUUGGCGAACACAAGCUCACACUGGAAUGAUUUUCCUUGACCCUUGCCUCCCCAGAUACCCAAGAUGAGUGGGAUCUGAAUUUCGAUUCAAGGUCAGUUUCAGAAUCAGAAUGAUUCAUUUUAUUGCUGCUUCUGCUAAUAAUCAAUUAAAUUAAAUAACGAUGUCUGCAUGCAUCGAUUAAUUCAACCUCCUUUUUUCAAAAAAAGAAAAGAANNNNNNNNNNNNNNNNNNNNNNNNNNNNNNNNNNNNNNNNNNNNNNNNNNNNNNNNNNNNNNNNNNNNNNNNNNNNNNNNNNNNNNNNNNNNNNNNNNNNNNNNNNNNNNNNNNNNNNNNNNNNNNNNNNNNNNNNNNNNNNNNNNNNNNNNNNNNNNNNNNNNNNNNNNNNNNNNNNNNNNNNNNNNNNNNNNNNNNNNNNNNNNNNNNNNNNNNNNNNNNNNNNNNNNNNNNNNNNNNNNNNNNNNNNNNNNNNNNNNNNNNNNNNNNNNNNNNNNNNNNNNNNNNNNNNNNNNNNNNNNNNNNNNNNNNNNNNNNNNNNNNNNNNNNNNNNNNNNNNNNNNAGGUACCUUGAUGUUGGGCAGGGUCAUGAAGUUUUUGGAGAGAUGGACAACAAGCUUGUCCAUGAAAGCAGGAGCGAUGUAGAAGCCUCCCAUGGUGUUGUCGAAGUCGUACUUCCGCAGGCCCUGGCUGACGUACUCGUAGGAGCUGAGGACGGCCUCGUGGGUGCCGUCGCCCGUGGGCGCCUGGAAGAGCGAGUCCACGAUGCCCUUCCCUCUGGUGAUGUCCUGCUGGUCGUCGGAGAUAUCGUACGCAAGACCCUUCCACUUGUCGGUGUUCCUCUUCUCGUCGAUGUUCUCCGCUGCCAUGACUGUGAACCUGUUGGCCUUGGAGCUCUUGCCAUGGUAGUUCACGGCCGAGGUCACCUGCUUCUUGAGCUUCUUCCCGAGGAAGUUGGUCGGCGUAGAAGCCUGUAUACAUUACAUUACAUUACAUAUACACACAUGAGAUGCCGCUGAAGACACUGAUAGGAUAUCAUCACUAAGCAAGAGAUGCAAUCAAUCAAUCGAUCGAUCAGUGUGUGGUACGCACCGGAGCCCCGACGGUGGAGGAGAAGGCAGCAGCCAUCUCUGUGCUGCUUGGUCGACCUUGCUAGCAACGGUGGAUGCGCGCGGCUGUGCUGGUGAUCAGUGAUGAAUGACUGCUGCUGCUCAAAGUAUAGAGGCCGAGCUAUGUGACGCCUUAAAUACACGUGGAUUGGCAUAUUGCUGCUCUGCUGUGGGGAGCUUGGAGGAGGAGGCGGCAUACACACACCCCUGCUUGUGGAUCAGCCUCCCGAUCCCCCAGAGGCCACACGCUGGAGAUUGGGUUCUGAGCGUCUUGGCCGGCCGGUUGGAUGACUUGGACCGUCAAGACCAAACGCUGCAGCUGCAGCUGCAGAUACGUCUGCUGGCCAUCAAUUCCAUGGCCUUCCACGGCCACAGAAUCUAACCAUUCAUGCUCAAAUCAUCUCCCAUUUCUUCCGUGCCUUUCAUUUUUUCCUUUCACUCGGUCGCCCGUAUAUACUAUCUUGUUUAUUAGCCAAGCCAUGUCAUUGCAUAACCACAAAAAAAGGGUCUCUCGUUGCUUGUUGGAUGAGGCACCCAAGAUUGUAUUCUAGUUCCAAGUACCACAAAUUUGUUGCUGCCAUACAUAUACUGGUUUGUUGAUAACCAUCAAGCUAGGGAUGUCAUUUGGCACCACACAAAUCAAGUCCUGGUUGACAUCAAGCACAUGGGUUUGUACUUUUGUCUACUCCAAUAAAUAUUGCCACUUCGGUAAAAAAAAAUGAAGCGUAUUAAGAGAAAAGGUAGCCAUGCAGUUUUGCUUUGAUGAAAAGAUUAUAGAACGUGUCUAAUGUUUUCAUGUAAAUGUAAUUCGUGUUGCCUAGCUCAAGUUCCCUGCUGGUAUUCUCAUUGUUUGGGUCUAGUACAGACCAUUAAUUGAUCAUUACGAUGAAUGCGAGCCGUUUGGCUCGCACAAUCUUUGUCCAAUACACCUUCUAGUGAUGUUGUCCUUGUUAAUCAACUUUGUGGUGCAAAUUGGGGUUUCCGUAAUCCGUCAAAGGGAAAAUAUGUAUGUAUGUGAUGAGUCAUGACCCCCCACAUCCACAGUACUCGUACCUAAUCAACAAGCUUCAGAUGAUUUCCACAUAUGUGCUAAUCUUCCGACAAGUGCUAAUAUCAAGAGAUAUAUAGGUUGUUGGGACUUGGGACCCUAGCUUGCAUCCAUUGGAGAAAUGAUUAAGCGGAAAAUGACGAUUUAAGAACAUAUACAAUUCCUUUCUCUUUCAAGAAGAGACUUACAAUUGGGUUACCUGUGCGGCGAUGAAUCAAAAAGUUUGAGUGGAUUUCGGGUCCAAAAUAGUCCAACAUAUAUAUAGUGCAUGCAUGCAUCUUAAGUAGAGUAGGACCUUCUACUUGCCGUAGAAGGCACCGGUCUUCAUGGCGUCGUCGUUGGCUUGGCCGAGCGCCGCCUCGCUGAGGUACUUGUCGGCGAGCUGCACACGCUUGACGUUCUCCUGCUCCUGGACCAGCAUGUGGCCGUACUCCAUGAGCUUCUCUAUGGUCAUCUUGGGCUGGUCGAACGUGGGCGGCCCCUCCCUGGAGUUGACGAGGCGCUUGGAGAUGUUCUCCACGCCGAUCUCGCCGACCCACUUGCGCACCUCGUCGUCGUACACCCGUGCCCGCAGCGCGCCGAAGAAGUCGAUGGACUGCCCCGGGAAGGUGUCCACCAGCCUCACCACGGCCUCGUCCGGGACGUUGUCGGUGCGGAAGAUGCCCUUGCACACGCCGAUGCGGUCCUCGCGGGUGGGCGCCCAGUAGAACUUCUCCAUGCGCCCGUCACGGAUCAGGGGAGCGUACAGCGUCGAGAAGUCGUUGCCGGUGACGAUGAUGGGCACGCGGGGGUUCUCCUCCUUGUUGUACAUCCCCGGGAGCUGCACGUUGGUGGGCGCGUCCGCGAUGUUCAUCAGGGUGGCGUUCACCAUCUGGUUGUUCACCGUGUACUGCGUCGUCCCGCCCAUCCGGCCCGCGCCGGCGUCCAGGUCGUUGAUGAAGAGGCAGCACAUCUUGCCCUUGUUGAUAAUGUCGGCCGCCUCGCGGUACCUCUGCCGGAUCAGCUUGGCCGGCUCGCCGGCGUUGCCGCUCUCCAGCUCACCGGCGCUCAUCAUGAUGGGGUUGAUGCCCAUCUUGGCGAACACCAGCUCACACUGGAACGACUUGCCCUGUCCCUUGCCUCCCCAGAUACCCAGGAUGAGAGGAACCUUGAUGUUGGGGAGUGUCAUGAAGUUCUUGGCGAGGUGGACGAUGAGCUUGUCCAUGAAUGCCGGCGCGAUGUACAGCCCGUCCAUGGUGUUGUCGAAGUCGUACUUCCGCAGGCCCUGGCUGAUGUACUCGUAGGAGCUUAGGAUGGCCUCGUGGGUGCCGUCGCCCAUGGGGGCCUGGAACAGGGAGUCCACGAUGCCUUUCCCCCGAGUGAUGUCCUGCUGGUCGUCCGAGAUGUCGUAGGCCAGACCCUUCCACCGGUCCGCAUCGGUCUGCUUGCCCUGGUCAAGUUCCUUUUUGGCCGCCAUGACCCUCACCACCCUGCUCUUCAUCUUGUUGCCACCAUGGUAGUAGUUCUUCACCUUCUUGCCCAGGAAGAUGGUCGGGGUCGACGCCUGCACAAGUAUGACAUAGUCAGCCCCAAUCACAUUCAUGCACGUUGGUUCACUUGCUGCUUGCUUUCAAUAGCAAUUGCCACGAUGAACGCUUAAUUUGCAGAUAUCAACCCUUCAUUUGGGCAGUUCCAGACUUCACUCGCUAUUCAAUUGCAUCCGCAUAUAUAUAGAAUUAAUUAGUCCAUCCAAAAGCUCCAGCUGAUGAACAGGGGCGGAAGGUCAAAGGUACAAUACCAGAAGUGGUGGGCCCGUGUUGAAGAGAGUGGGGGCCUAGGACCCUACUCAAAAUAUGAAAUUUCAAUACGAUUUGAAUAACUUUUAGGAGGAAAUGCUAAAACUCAAUGAAUUUGGAUAAAAUGUGACACCACUCUUAAAUCGUUUUUGUUACUCUCCAUCAUUUACCUCCCUUAUUUUAAUGAUGUUUUGCCACGAGUCAAAAUAGUUUUUAGAUCCGUCCCGUCCCGGCAUGCUGGGCCUUGAAGUUGAUGCCCCAUGGCUUGAAUGACAUAUUGAAUUACAAAACAACCUACUCCCUCCGUCUUGGUUUAUAAGUCAUCUUAUGAAAAAAAAAUCUCAAAACACUUAGGCACGAUGCAUUAAUUUUCUGCUUGUUUUUUGUUUUUUUUUACAUGGAUAAAGGAAUCAACCAAUAAGAGACAUGGAACGUGUAUGUUUUUAAUGACUUGCGACUAACUAGCACGACAUGCAGUGGUUAAUUCAUUACAUGCAAUGAUAUUAAUUAGCAAAUUAAUAUAUUUUUUUGUUUUCCUCUCCGUUUUGAUCACGAUGCACAACCUAAUAUGACCUAUACACUGAGACGGAGGGAGUAACUAAUUCAGCCAAAAGUUCUUACUAAUGAAGAAUGAGGAGAAGCAUACUUCACUAGUUAGUUUCUAAUAUUAUNAUUCUCACACACGGGCUUGACAACCGUGUGCCUCCACUCGAGACUUUUGAGGUUCUAUCUUUCCCUUCCUCCUCCACGCAAUAGCUUCGAAAAAGUGUAACCAUUAGCUUCCCACAUUUCUCAACACUCCCCGUCACCACCCUCACCUCGCCCUAUUUGUAAUUUGCAUCGUGAUUUAAUAAACCUCACAAUAGUUGCUCCUAAAUAAAAUCUCGCUACCACCUCCCGUUCAUUCUCAUCCGCGCCAUCAUGAAACAACCAUUAGUAUUGCCUAAAUUAUCUUUAUCGUGCUAACUCAAUAUUCAAGGUCAUGCCCAAACCGAGAUCAAAUGACCUCAUUUGAUAGCCUUCGCCCCAUGGUGGCUAGCCAUCCGCUGCCCACCCCAUCACCCUAGACUCACCCGAGAGUUUGGAUACCCUAACCCGCUACCCAAACCCGAACUGAACCAAAAUACCCGAAUUGUCGGGUAAUAUGGGUAUCGGGUUAAGGUUUGGUUCUCAUUUCCUGGCUAUUCGGUUUUCGGGUUAGGGUUCAGGUUCUAGUCUGUAAAACCCAAAAUACCCAUACUACCCGAAUUAUUCAUACUAGUCAAAUUAUUUAUGUUAUUAUUACACUUACAUGUUACACAAACUAACUAAAACACCCACACUAUCUGAAUUAUUCAUGCCGAAACUUAAUGUGUGCUCUGAAUAUUUUGGGUUUUUUGGGUACCCGAGUUACCCAAACCAAAAUUUUGGGUAAUUUGGGUUCGGUUAUUUUUUUGACAUAAAAAAUUCCGAUUCCCAUUUUUUUAAUACCCGAAUUACACAUGAACCGAAAUAACCAAAAUACCCGAACGCUCAGGCUGACCAUAGACAGUCUUUUUAAGCCCCGGAAGGCAUGGGUGAGGAAAGAGAUGCCCUUGUCGGAGUCAACACAUAGAGAGGAGGCCCAGCUUGUCGCGUCCGAAUCUCAAAGCAAGAUCACACGGUCACAAAUUAUAUUAAAAACUGUACAAAAUGAAACAAUUCAGACCUGAAAAUGUGUAGCAACUCUGUCAAUUAAUUUAGAGAGACGGUGAGUUUUCUUUUUGUCGUACACACGUUGUGUCCACUGAAUUAAGGAUUAGGAACCACGAGUGUACGUGGAAGUGUAGGUCAUACGUACCGGAGCUCCAACGGUGGACGAGAAAGCAGAAGCCAUGGUGUUGAUCGAUCGUUCUCUUCUCGCUGCUGAUAACUUAAUUACAGUAGUUUCUAAUUAAUUUGAUGUGCGUACGUGCAGUGGUAUAUGCAAGCUAGCUCGAUCAGCUCUCAGCUGGAUUAGGCCGGCGUACUACUAGUACACCUACAGAUGCAGGUGGACUGAGAUCGAUCGUCAGUGAUGGAUGGAGCUGAUAUGGAUAAAAGAGAGGGGUGCAGUGGUUAGCAGGUACAGAUGCGAUGCCGAUCGAUGGAGCUUGGCCAUGGCGUCUUAUAUAGGUGCAUGGACAGAUGGCCAUGGAGCAAGCGUCCAACACGACUGGAGUGACCUAGAGCGUGAGAGACUAUUCUAGAGCGUCCCUGCGUAAUCACGCAGUCAAGCCACAUAAGCUGUGAUUAUCAGGCCGGCUGCGAUAAGUAGCUAGUGAGGCGAGCCAAGUGGAGUGGAUGAUGAGAUGUUAAUUGUGUGGAUAGGGUUGGGCAUCUCCCAGGAGCCACACGCUGAGGAUUGGCUCCAUCCGUCUCUACACAACGGCGUCGACGCGGCUGCUCCUCAGCCUUCCGAUCGGCGCAUCCAACGGCCCAAAUGUGAUCUAAGCUGCAUGCAUUCGGUUCCUUGUCGGAUGGGGAUCCGGAGCAUGCAUGCAUGCCUGCCGUACACCACUACGGAGUACUACAAUACUAAUAGAUGUGCAUGCAAAUUUUCUAGAAUGUAGAUGGUUAUUGAUUGGCUGUGAAAUGAGUUAAAAAAUAACAUUUACACUACACAUGCAUAUAGAAGUAGUACAACGGAGUACUAAUUAGCUGCUAGGAGUAAAUGCAACGUGCCUUAAUCUUUGUUUAUUUUGAAAACGCACGCAAGUCUAACUGUACCUUCUAAACCGUGACGGAGGAAGUAAAUUUCUUUUUUGCGGGUAUGCAUGCAUUAUUACUCUAGUUACGAGACCGAUGCCUUCACCCUUCACCAUAAAAAUCACAUCUCGUUCGUUCUAUUUUUCUUUCUUUUGCAUUUUGCAUGAAAUGUCUAGGCUGGCUUUUACACCGCCACAAAGUACUAAUCCCAUUCCCUCCAGUAGGGCCCGGGUGAAACUUCAUGAAGUAUUUUUAAAUAUUCCCUUCAUUUUUAAAAGGCUGGAAUCGGGUCUAAUGGUUAGUCUUCUGUCCCGGUUCUGGCCACCAACCGGGACCAAAGAGAUGCCUAUAUAUACCCGCACCCUGCGCACCCUGUGCUCUGGUUUUUGGCCUAGGUGUGCAUGACAUGCUCUUGUUGCCACCCUUCUAUGCAUGCACAUGAGGUGUUCGAUGAAAAGCCCGAGCCACACUUAAGCUUUCUCCUCUCCAAGCUCAACCUCCAAGCUCCAUUUUCCUUAAUAUUUGUCUAAGUUUGGCGGUACACCAACUACACAAGGGUUCUAAAAGUUUAGCUAGUUUAGCUCAUUUCAAAUGGUCUAAAAGUAGAGUGGUUUGUGGGUUUUAGUGUAGGAGUGUAUGUGGGAGUUCUUUUGAUUUAGAUGCAAAAUUUGAGCUCAGAUUAACUUCUUAUAGACUCUGUACAUGUAUAGGGUGCCGUCUCGUGCCCGUCCUCGCUGUCGUCGAUCGCCCGCGCCGAUCUCGUUGCCAGCACCACCGUGGUGAGCCUCUUUUUCUUAUCUUCUUUUUAAAAGAAUUUUUUUUCUUACUUGUAUGAUUUAGAUAGAUAUUUGUAUAAAUUACUUACUUUUAUUAUUUUUUGUUAUUAUAUAGUGCGAUGGUUUUGGUAUCCACCCACGUCGUCCCUCGUCCGGCCUAUGAUUCGGACGUGGUAUAUUUUCUUUUAUUACUAUUUGUUUCAUUUAGUGUUUAUGACGAUAAUUAUGCCGACCAAUGUGACAUGGAUGUUUUUAUCUAGGAUGUAUGUGAACCGGAAAUUCCAACCAACCCUCUUGUCGAGAGGUUAAAUUUAGUUGAAAAAGAAAACAAUUACUUGAAGAAAAAAUUGAAAAUAAUUGAGGAGAAGAAUAUGGAACUGGAGUUGCAUGUUGCCGAUGUCGUCGAUGAUCACAAGAUCAACAUGGAUGCAAUGCGGUUGAAGAUGGAUGCAAUGCGCUUGAAGAUGAAUGCAAUGCGCUUGAAGAUUAGGAAUAUUAGAAAAUACGCCACUGAUGAAGAGGCUUGGUAUCAUUAUGUUCUUGGGUCAUUGUUACCUUACUUGUGAUUUUGAUCGCAUUUGUUGUGGCAUUUAAAUGUUUUACAUAGUUGUAUGUUGUUUUAUGAGAGUACUUUAUGUAUUUAUUUUUGCAAUAAUAAUAUUUGAUCACUACAGUACUUUGAUUUUAAUGUGAUGCUGAACUUGUAUUAAUUUGGUCAUUUCUCUAUUCAUGAUGUUCUGCAAUGGUUUUUUGAUAUACUUAAUUUCAUAAUACAAAUGAACCGCCAAUGGAUGUAUGGCGACCGACACACUCCGGAGUACAUUAUGAACCGGGACUAGUGCCCCUCCCCUGCCUACCAAUUAACCCUCCCCACCCACUUAUUUUUUUCUGAUUGGAUGUGUGGGAGGUGGGUGCUAGAAUUUUUUCCUUUGCUACGCACAAGAUGUGUUUGAUGAAAUGCCCGAGCCACACUUAAGUUCACACAAAAUGGUAUCCUCGACAGAGGUUAGCAACCUUAUCAUUUUCAUCUGUAAUUGAUACAAAAAUAUUGCAUGUGUCCAUGUACGGUGGCCAUUUCACUAUUCAUGUAUGAUGCAGAUCGAUGCACGAAAGCGAUGGAUGUAUGACGAACGACGUAGUUUUGGAUUUAUUGCAGGCCUACAUAAAUUUAUCGAUGUGGCUGAGGCAAACAAAGUGGAUAAUUUUAUGCCUUGUCCAUGUGUUGACUGUCGAAACGUCAGGGAGUACUCUAGCUCGAAAACUAUUCAAGGCCACGUGCUUCGGAGAGGUUUCAUGCCCAGAUAUUAUUGUUGGACCAUGCACGGAGAAAGAGGGGUUAGGAUGGAAGACAAUGAAGAAGAAGAAGAUGAUGACAACUAUCCUAUGUUCACUGAAGAAUACGGUGAUACUGCAAUGGAAGACAAUGAAGAAGAAGGAGGUGAAGACCAACCGGCAUGAGAUGAGACCGUUGAUGGUCUUGGUCGGGUCAUUUCUCAUGCAAAGCGAGAAUGCAUACACACAAGGAGAGGUUGAAGUUGGAGGCCAUGCUAUAGGAUCAUAAAAAGUUGAUGUACCCAAAUUGCGAAGAUGGCAGCACAAAGCUCGGUACCACACUUGAACUGUUGAAAUGGAAGGCAGAAACUGGUUUAUCUGACAAGGGAUUUGAGAAGUUACUGAAAAUAUCAAAGUCGAAGCUUCCAAAGGAUAACGAAUUGCCUGAGGCUACGUACGAAGCAAAGAAGGCUAUCUGCCCUCUUGGAUUAGAUAUGCAGAAGAUACAUGCAUGCAUUAAUGACUGCAUCCUGUAGCACGGUGAGAAGUACGAGAAUAUGGAUAAAUUCCCGGUAUGCAAUGCAUGUCGGUACAAGAUCAGACAAGAUGACCCUGGUGAUGUUGAGGGCGAUGACGAGCCCCUGAGGAAGAAGGUUCCUACUAAGGUUAUGUGGUAUGCUCCUAUAAUACCAUGGUUGAAACGUCUGUUCAGAAACAAUGAGCAUGCCAGGUUGUUGCGAUGGAACAAAGAAGAGUGUAAGAAAGACGGGAAGUUGAGACACCUCGUUGAUGGGUCGCAGUGGAGAAAAAUCGAGAGUAAGUACCCGGACUUUGCAGGUGACGCGAGGAACUUAUGGUUUGGUCUAAGUACAGACCGCAUGAAUCCUUUUGGGGAGCAGAGCUGCAGUCACAACACCUGGCCCGUGACUCUAUGUAUCUACAACCUUCCUCCUUGGUUGUGCAUGAAGCGGAAGUUCAUUAUGAUGCCAGUGCUGAUCCAAGGACCGAGGCAACCCGACAACGACAUUGAUGUGUACCUAAGGCCAUUAGUUGAUGAACUUUUGCAGCUGUGGGCCAACCAGGUGUACAUGUGUGGGAUGAUCACAAACAGCGGGAAUUUGACCUACGAGCAUUGUUGUUCGUAACCAUCAAUGAUUGACCUGCUCUUAGUAACAUUUCAGGACAGUCAAACAAGGGAUACAAUGCAUGCACGCACUGUUUAGAUAAGGCUAAAGGUACAUAUUUGGAAAAAUAUAAGAAGGUUGUCUAUGUGGGGUCUCGUCAAUUUCUUCCGACCAAUCAUCCCAUAAGAAAGAAAGGCAAGCAUUUCAACGAUGAGGCAGAUCACCGAAAGAAGCCUAACCUCCCUACUGGUGAUGAGGUAUUGGCUGUGGUCAAGGAUUUGAAUCAAAUAGUAAUCUUUGUAAAGGGUUUUGGCAGUCAAUCUGUUUCGAAAGACGUGGUUACCAGUCACGUGCCCAUGUGGAAAAAGAAAUCUUUAUUUUGGGAGCUACCCUAUUGGGAAUACCUAGAGGUCCGCUAUUCAAUCCACGUGAUGCACUUGACGAAGAAUCUUUGCGUGAAACUGCUAGGCUUCCUGGGCGUGUAUGGGAAGACAAAAGAUACACGAGAAGCACGGGAGGAGCAACAACGUAUGAAAGACCCAUACGACAAGAAGUGUCAAUACUUAAGCAGCUACGCUCUUACCAAAGCAGAGAAGGAAAUCGUUUUUGAAUUCCUGAGUAGUAACAAGGCCCCCGCUGGCUUCUCUUCUAAUAUAAAGGUAAUAAUAAAUAUGGCAGAGAAAAAAAUUCCAUAACCUGAAGUCUCAUGAUUGGCACAUGAUUAUGACGUAGUUGCUUCGAGUUGCAUUGAGGGGGCUUCUACCGGAAAAUGUUCGAUUACCCAUUGUGAAGCUAUGUGCAUUCCCCAAUGCAAUAUAUCAGAAGGUAAUCGAUUAAGAAUGUCUGGAAAGGAUACAGAGGGAUGUGGUCCAAUGUCUUGUCAGUUUUGAUUUGGUGUUCCCCCCGUCCUUCUUCAAUAUUAUGACACAUCUCCUAGUUCACCUAGUCGACGAGAUUUCCAUUCUCGGUCCUAUAUUUCUACACAAUAUGUUCCCCUUUGAGAGGUUCAUGGGAGUCUUAAAAAAUAUGUUCAUAACCGUGCUAGUCUAGAAGGAAGCAUCUCCAAGGGCUAUGGAACAGAGGAGGUCAUUGGGUUUUGUGUAUACUUUCUUCCUGGUCUUAAGCCGAUUGGUGUUCCUGAAUCGCGGCAUGAGGGGAAACUGAGUGGAAAAGGCACGCUAGGAAAGAAAGCAGUGAUAUGUAGGCACGGGCAUUCUUUCACUCAAGCACACUACACAGUUCUACGAAGUUCCACCUUCGUGGCUUCGUAUAUCGAGGAACACAAGAAUUUUGUACGCUCCGAGUUCCCGGGGAAGGCUGACUCCUGGAUUGAAGAAAAACACAUGUAUACUUUCGGCAGUUGGUUGUGAGCACGUCUCAUGAAUGACAACACUGUUGUAGAUCAACUCUACUUGUUGGCCGUGUCACCUUCUUGGAUUGUAUUACAUUUCCAAGGGUACGAGAUAAAUGGGAAUACAUUUUACACGACCGCCCAAGAUAAAAAGAGCACCAACCAAAACAAUGGUGUCCGCUAUGAUGCAACAUAGGAGAAUGGGGAAAAGGACACAUACUAUGGUUACAUAGACGAGAUAUGGGAACUUGACUAUGGACCUACUUUUAAGGUCCCAUUGUUUCGGUGUAGUUGGGUGAAUAUGAAUGGAGAAGGGGUAAAGGUAGACCAGUUGUACGGAAUGACAAUAGUUGAUCUCAAGAAUCUUGGUUACAGAGACAAGCCAUUCGUUCUAGCCAAUGAUGUGGCUCAGGUUUUCUACGUGAAAGAAAUGUCGUCCAGAUCGAAAAACAGAAGAAAAAAAUGAAUACAUCGGACGGUGAGGCAAAGUUUCACAUAGUUCUUUUAGGGAAAAGAAACAUCACGGGAAUCGAGGACAAGACACACAUGUCAGCAGAUUAUAAUAAGUUUGACGAAAUUCCGCCCUUCACACUGAGAAUUAACCCAAGCAUCCCGUUAAAUAAUGAAGAUGCUCCAUGGUUACGGCCAAAGUGAUCAUAGGCAAGGGAUCGAAAUGUAAAUCUAUGUAAUGUAUUAAACUUUAUGUGAUAUGUACUAAUGUAUCAAACUUUAUGUUAUGUGUACUAAUGUAUUAAACUUGGUACCACUUGGUUCUAAAGAAAAUGCACUUUUCCUUUUAUUAGUGGGAAAACGACGUUUUUUGUGAAAGAGGUACCAACUACGAGAACUAAAACAACUACGAGUACGAGAGCUAAAACAACUACGAGAAGUAAAACAACUAUGAGAACUAAACCCUAAACAGCUACGCCAACUUUCAACCUUUUCAGAGCCCAUUUGUAGGGAUUUUAAAUUUCAGGGUCAAUUAGCUCAAAGAACAAACUAAUAGCAAAAAGAAUGAAGUAAAAAGAAUCAACUAAAAAGAAUCAACUCAAAAGAAUCAACAAAAAGAUUAACUAAAAAGAAUGAACUAAAAAGAAUCAACGAAAAUUAUCAAAGUGUUUAUUUGUUAAAAAGAAUCAAGUAAAACAUUAACUAAAAACAAUCAAAAAAAUAUCAACUCAAAAGAAUUUUCAUAAAGUUUUCAGAGCCCAUUUGUAGUGCUUUUCAAAUUCAGGGUCAAUUAGCUCAAAGAAUAAACUAAUAGCAAAAAUAAUGAAGAAAAAGAAUCAACUAAAAAGAAUGAACUAAAAAGAGUCAACCAAAACAUCAACUAAAGAGAAUGAACUAAAAAUAAUCAACUAAAAUUAUCAAAGUGUUUAUUUGUUAAAAAGAAUCAAGUAAAAAAUUGACUAAAAAGAAUCAAAAAAAUAUCAACUCAAAAGAAUUUUCAUAAUUUUUUUUAAAAUAUAUAAUAGAAAACUAAAAUAAAAGAGAAAAAAUAUAUUUAAUAGCAAAGAAUUAAAAUAUAAACUGGGACUAAAAAUUAUUAAAGUAAAAAAAUGCCACCUACUAGGCCAUGAGGACGUGCAUACGACUAGAAACCCUAGAAGCUAGAUGGGCCAGGAUGCAGGCCUGUAGAAGGCCUAGUAGGACCACAGGGUAGUGAGAGUGUGGUUAGGCCCGUAGGCCUGCGUUUGAUAGGAUCUCGAGAGGGUUGGCACAACGGGGCUUAUAAACCACUCUCAACUCCUCUCAACUAGCUAGGUGGGNCGGCCUCCACAGCUAGCUCCAUCUCCGGGCCCCCAGUGAGCUCCUCCUGUCACCACCAUCGCACCCACACCAUCGUUGACCUCGUGUCCCCGCCGUCGUUGCGGGACCCCUCGUAGUGGCAUCAUUUUCGUGCCGUCCCUCGAGCCUCCUCAUCGUUGCCGCGCCCUUCCCCUCCGGUGAGAAGUAUGGCAUCCGUUGUUUCUGUUGACAGAUUCAGGUUUAGGGUUGUACUGAGAUUGUUACAAUCUAAAAAAUGGUUUAAUGAAAAUGCAAUUUGUGUUCUAUCUCAGCAUGUUCUAAUUAGUGUUCAAGUGAAGAAAAGUGAAGACAUUGUUGACUUUUGACUAAAUGUGCUCUGGUUUUUUAGAUGUGCUCUAGUUUUUUAGAUGAGAUGUUUUGUGAAGAUGAGAUGAGAUGUUUUCUGGAAAUGUGAGAGAGAUGAGAUGAGAGAAUUUAUUUUAGGCUUUUUUAGAUAUAGAAACAAAUGUUAAAAUUUGCAUGUGCUCUGGCUUUCUUGUUGCAUAAUGAGAUUAGAUGAGAUGAGUCACCGGCGAUCGUCGGAGGAGUCCUCGACGAUCGCCGGUGAGGAGUCCCCGACGAUCGUCGAAGGAGUCCCCGACGAUCGCCGGUGAGGAGUCCCUCACGAUCGUUGAAGGAGUUCCCGACGGUCGUUAGAGGAGUCUCGGACGAUCACUGGUGAAGAUUCCAGGGCGAUCGCCGGUGAAGAUUCCCCGACGAUCAUCGGUGCGGAAUCCCCGACGGUCGUCAGAGGAGCCCCCGCGGUUGUCAGAGGAGUCCCCGACGAUCGCCGGUGAAGAGUUCCUGACAAUCGCCGGUGAGGAGUCCCUGAUGAUCGCCGGUGAGGAGUCCCCAACGAUCACUGGAGGAGACCCCGACGGUCGUCCAAGGAGUUCCCGACGAUCGUCAGAGGAGUCCCAGACGAUCGCCGGUGAAGAGUUCCUGACGAUCGCCGAUGAGGAGUCCCCUAUGCUCAUCGGAGGAGUCCCCGAUGGUCGUCGGAGGAGUGUACUCUCUUGAAAGUAUAACCCCAAUAACUUCGACAUUAGGGGGCGUCAUGAGCCCCCCCGUUAAAUGACAAUACAUAAAUGUUUCCCUCUCCCCAAGUUAAUUAAAAUGUUUACCUUUUCUUAUUAUUCUUUAUUUUUUGCAUUGUUCUUAAUUUGCAGAUACUAUGGAUCCAAUACACGGCAGAGACGAAUAUCAGGAUGACAUGAUGCAUGGUGUCAUCCGUGAGGAUGAUUUUAUUGUUGGCAGUGUCACCAAUCAGUUUCUGAACGAGUCCGGCGAGGGAGAUGAGUCUGUCAACACAGGAGGUAGAAGCUCCGGUGUGAUAGACGCCCACGCCUCGGGCGAGCGAGGAUUCAGCGGCUCCGAUGAGGGAGAAGCCGACAAGGGAGAAGCCGAUGGCUCCGGCGUGGUGCAUAUAUAUAUUAAUAAAUUAAUCCUGUGCUGUCUAUAUACAUAUAUUAACGCUCUUUCUUCUUUUAGCCCUCCGGAGUGAGCAAAACUUAAGUACGGAUGAAACGAGGCCCAACCAAGAAGAUGGAUGACGGUGAGAGGUACAUGAUCGAAAGAGUCUCAAAAGGCGGGCAAUCGAUUGUUCCCACAGAUGUAAAGAAGAAAUUUGUGAAGGCAUGCAGAGUUAUUGUUAAGGACCACAUCCCUAUCACCACUCGAGAAUGUCUUAAGCCAAGGGUGGAAGGAGUCUCAUAUGUCGGCACAGUAGCCAAAGAAAACCUUUGGAGAAAGCUCAUGCUUCAUUUCACCCUGCCGGCGCCAGAGGUGGAUCCAGAUGAGGAGGAAAUGAAGAGGCGAAACGAGGCCCUAGAGAAAAAAUUCAAGGAGUGGGCUCUUAAGAAAAUGACCGAUCUAUUCAGGGGCUGGAAGAAAAGAUUGCACCAGGAUUUUAUCUUGCAAGAUAAGACUCCAGAUUUCGAUAACGGCUAUGAGAAGAUAAAAGACUAUUUGACCGAAUUUGUGGCGUACAAGAAAUCGGAGGACGCCUUGAAAAAGUCUGCAACAAAUAAGAGGAAUGCACGUAUGAAGAAGUACCACCAUAUUAUGGGGUCUGCUAGCUACGCCAGUAACAUGGCUAAGUGGGACGCACUUGAGGCACCAUUUCUGGCUAACAAUAUCACUCCAGAGCCCUUAACAUGGAUCGAACGGUUAAGAAACUGGUUUUACGGGCAUGGGGCAUGUUGGACGCCAAAGGGAAGGAAAUAUAUAACCAAACACACAAAGAUAAUCCCCUACUACCCAUCGAGAACAUUAGAAGUGUAGUAAAGGAUGUUGAAGAGGAACGGUUCGUUCUCGAUAGAGAGAACGAUGAGCUCUCACGCGCCCUUGGGAAUGAUGAACACAAAGGACGAGCACGAGGCUUACCAGGCUCCCCGCCAUGGAUGCUUGCGUUUUCUGAGGAAAUGAAGAAAUUUCCCAAUAGAAGCCAUCAGAGGAGAAUGGAAAAGGAGGCAGCUGAGAAAGCGGCUACUGCAGACCGGCCGCAUAAUGUAGAAGAAGGAGUAAAGCGGCUGCAACAGGAUCAAAUCAAUAGACUUAGCCAACAAGGUAGCGGCCUAUCUCAGCAUCUCAUGAUAGAAGCUGCAUCGAAUCGGAAAAGCAAUGUCGAUUCCACGCAGCUCCAGGAUGAUGGUGACGAUGAUGCACUGACGACGGCUCCUCCUCGUCGCUACCCAGUGGAUGAUAUCACAGAGAGCACACCUUGUGAGCUAAAGGUGAAAGUUGCUAACUUAAGGUUGACGGUAGCGGUCGGCAUGGUCGUACUAAUUGGACAUAAUCCAACUUGGCAUUGCUCUCCGGUUACAAAAGGGUACGUUGUCAUCACAGUGGAUGAAGUGAUGAAAGAUUAUGAGGAGCUAAAGCUGGACUACCGUGCAGGUGAAUAUAGGGAUUUGACUGAACUUGGAGAAGUCAAGAAACAGACCAUUGUAUGGCCAAAGGAGCACAUCUUGCUUCCAAAUUGGUCGCCAAGGCCACCGACCCCUCAGAGCAGCAAUCCUUCUUCGCCUCCACCUCACCAGUCUCUAGCACAACCGUCGUCUUGACCGCCUCACCAGUCUCGAGCGCAACCGUCGUCUUCGCCACCUCACCAGUCUCCAGUGCAGCCGUAUCCACCACUGCAUCAGCCGUCUUCACUGACCCGUCAGUCGUCUCCGUCCACUGAGGAUCAGAGCCAAAAGCGAAAACGUACCACCACUAAUAGUGGCGGUAGAAAGGGGUUCCGAUCACCGAAAUGUAAGUCGUCGCCCCUCCCAAAAGUACCUCAUAAGAAUAUGGAGAUGAGACCUUGGGACUAUAGUGAAGAGAAAAAUAAGAAGAGGGCAGACGCCCAGUAUCAAAAGUGGAAGGCUGACAUGGCUAACAAGAAGAAGUAGAAAGAGCCAGAGUUCCCGGUCACCCUAGAAGAUCACGCCGCAUGCGUGAAAAUGUUGAAUACUCUUGGACAACCCCCGCCAACAUUGCGAGAAGACCAUGAACGCGCUAUUCUCAAGUCGGCUGAGGUAAAAAAGCAGUGGUUGAACAGUAGUAGGUACAACGCGAAAUCAGUUGCCCAGCUCGGAUAACAGAAAAACCAAUCGUGCCCCCGCUCAAAGUGUAUUCGGAUACAGAGGUGUGCUCGAGUGGAGCUGCGGCCGAGCAGAGGUAUGAUGAAACAACUGAUAUCAAUCCGGAGUUUGUUGCACUGUACAGAGAAGCGGCCAAGGCUCAUGGCAUGACUAUUGUUCGGUACUUAAACAAUAUACAUGAUUUCACUGACGUAGCAUACCAGUACCGGCACGGGUCUCCUCUCGUCAAACCCGAGUUAGUCAAUGAGCUAUCAACAAAAAUGCAAAUAUUGCAUAACUGGUACAUGCGAGCAUCUGCUGAAUAGCAAAACUGGAUCUAUUGUGCAUAUAAAAACGAGCAUUACAGGCAUGGAGAAGGAGUGCUAAUGAUUGAAUUCAAUGAAUUAUUUCAGUUAUACCAACAAGAUGCCCUCGACAAAUCUAUCAUCAGUGCCUAUUGUUUGUAAGUAUUAUUAGUUUAUGUCAUUAAGUCUUACUCAGCUCGUUCAUUGCAUGUAUAAUCUUACUCAUCACUACAUUAAUUUUGCAGAAUGAAGAUUCUCGAAUGCAAAUGAGGACGAAUCUAUGACAUUGGGUUCAUUGACCCAUAUUUCAUUCAAGAAAAAAUUUCUCGAACUGAAUACCAACGAGAUAGAGAAUAAGUUGUUACAAGGGUUAAGGUUGUCCGCUACCAAAAGGGAAAUACUAUUUCCUUACAACUUCAAGUGAGUGUUACUGUCUUGUACACACAUUCUAUUUUCGCUUACUCGAUGUUAAUUGUAUAAUUGACUCGUUAUGUGUGCGUAGCUUCCACUUUAUUCUGUUAAUCAUUGAACCUCACAAUGGACUAGUAAAAGUCAUGGACCCAAAACGCAAACCCCUCGCUGAUUGGGCCAACAUGAAGGAAUGCCUCCAGAGGUAAUCUCAAUCAUUAUGGCACUAUAUCGGCAACUUUUCAUUCAUUUCCUGAUAGCAAGUAAUUAAUAUAGAACUCCUUUAUUUAUUUCCUUUUCUUGGUAGGGCUUGGAAACGGUUCACCGCCAAGUGUUGGGGUGUUUGGUAGCCAGAGCUUACAUUUAGACAAAUGGAUGUAAGUACUACUAGCUAGAUCUGCCAUCUCUUUAUUCUAGUUUCAAUACCAUUAUCAUGCUUGAUUAUGUUCUGAUUGAACUCUGUUCUCGUAAAGUGCUUGAGGCAGGAACAUGGGAACAAUUUAUGUGGAUACUAUGUUUGCGAGUUCAUUCGCCAGACGACCCAUGAGACGGGCAAAAACCGGGACUUCAGAAAAAUUGAAGUACGAUAAACAAUACUCACAACUUUAUUUUAUUACCAUCAAUUGUGUUCGGUUUCAUUGAUAUAUAUAUAUAUAUUGACCCCUUCUUUAAAUUAGAUCAAAUGGUUGCGGGACGGUCUUCUACCAGAGGAACGCAUACGAGCAAUUCAAGAGGAAAUUGUCGGAUUCUUUGAUGCAGAGGUCCUAGAUCUGAAGGAAGAAAACUAUUGCCCGCCGGUUGAAGUGAAAUGUUAAAGUGUAAAAGAGAUGCAUAUGUGCAGGUAACUCGUGUCUACAUUUUGUAAUAUGUUCGACAAAGCACGACAGAUGAGAUGGAGUAAUAUAUUCAUGACGAUGAUGUGCAAUAUAGUUGUUCCUUAAUUGCUGUGUAUGUACCAUCCAAUUUAGUGCAAAACACAAAUUAAAAACGUGCCCAAGACAAAUAAAUGGGAAAAUAGAAAAAAAAUAAGGGGCAGCAAAAUAGCCCCCAUCCAAUUUAGUGCAAAACCCUAAACCCUAAAAAGUGCUAAAAAAGGCAGCGAAGCAAUAGCCCCGAUUCGUAAUAAGAACCCAGACUAAUACUCCUCCCCCCUCGCUCCCAGCCCCGCCACGUGGAGGACCAUUAGCCCCGGUUCGGGGGCGAACCGGGGCUAGAAUUAGUCCCGCUUUUGUGGUACCGAUUCCUGAACCGGGGCUGAUGGCCCAAACGAACCGGGUCUCAAGCCUAUAUUUCUGCUAGUGUUUUAAGCGCAAGUAUAUUAUUGUUCAUACAAAAGUCGGGCAAGUAAAAUAUAACACCUUUAGUUCAUAAGGAUGGAAUGCGGGUGCGUGCGUUUACAUAGGUGAGUAUAUGUGCAUAAGUAUGUGNNNNNNGUGUGUCCAUCUUUACUGUAUUAAAAAAAGCGUUCAUUUUAUACCGAAAAGAAGCAACAUGAAUUUUUAUAGAGAAAAACACCCAAAAGGUAUCUUAUGUCUAAUUACUCCUAUAAAUGAUGAUGGAGUGCCCCGGAAUUGGCGCCCUCGCGCGCGCUCCACAUCGUCUUAUCCACUAGCGCCUCACGUCGGUGCCUGUCUCACGCCCUCCCUACCUUCCAAUCGGACCAUGUCACUCCUUAUAGAGCCGGCAUCCUCGGGGUCCAUGAAUCAUGAGUCACGACCGUGUCCAUGGCCUCCUUUCUGUAGUGUUUUUGUUGCCCCUGCGUGCGCAUUUCCCGCGGUUGGUCGUUGUGGGUGUAGCCAUGCCUUGCCCGAUGGUGUGGAGGUUGCUUCUCGGCUUGUGUGAGCCACUUUCAUGGUAUUCGGUUUUUCCGGGAGUGAUAUAUAGGUUUUACCCCUAAGUUUGACAUAUUUGAGACUAAUUACCCCGUUUAAAAUAAUUUCAUCCAUUGUACCCCAUUUAACAAAAAAUUUGCCACAAUUUACCCCUUUUGAAACUUAAAGCGUUCUGAGUGGUGUGUCAUAAUUAUUAGAUCCAACUCGAGUGCCACGUAUAGAGGUUUUUUAAGGUAUUUUUUCUGCAUACUAAACGGCUUCGCACGGUUUCUAUCUACCGACCAGACUAUACCGAUGGGAAGCAGACGCAUGUCCUCGAACAAUUUAUAAAGUUACACGUCGCUUGAGUCCAGUGCACCAUGAUCAUUCAAUCCCGCUGCAUAUUUCAUUGAGUCUGUUGCGCCAGAGUGGCCUCCAAUCAUGGUACACAUCGCUCGCCUCUAGUCACAUAGAGGAUCGUGCCCAAGUCUGGCCGAGUCCACUUCGCUCCUUCCUUCUGAGAGGGGAGGACGAACGUAUGCGAUGAGCGGUAGGCGACAUGUCAAGUUUUCACUGGGAUUGUUCGAGCUGCAAGCAGCAACCGAUAUGUCAAUCUCCUUCUCUCUUACGCUUGCUUGAAUUCUCUGUUUUUCACUUCAGUGGUUAGGCUUUCAGUUUUGCUCUUAGUCCAGGAUGCAUAUCACAUGGGUUCCGGACAAUUGUUUCUGGUUUGAAGAUCUCCGAUGAGAUGAAUAUUAUUAGUGGAAACAUUAUUGGAUUUUUUUAUUGAUAUAAUCCCGAAUCAGUUUCUGUUUUCUAUAUGUAAAAGGAACUUAAGUUUUCUAUACGUAAGAUGAGAGCAUUUGGAUAACCAUAUAUUCCAUGCUAAUAGCAUGCUGAAAGACACUAGUAAUAGGGAAAUCUGCGAACUUUGUGUCUGAGCGUCUUCUUGUUGUAUGGAUUUUAUCCGCUAAUUAGUGAUUUUGGUUUUCUUGCACAAAUCAUAUGGCAACCGAGAUGUGGAGCGUUAGGUCCACUUUUCAUGUCCGUGGAUACAAUAAUCCAGAGCCAGAGUUGAUUGAGACGGAUUUCAUUAGUUAUUUUGAUAUAAAGGAGAGGACAAAAGAGUUGGGUUUCAACCAUUGUGACAUCGUUUAUUAUGAGAAGAAAGGGGACAAUGGGAACUCCAUGGUUGAGUUAAUAAAUGACACUAGUGUUAUGAAGAUGCUUGAGGAGUUUGAUGCUUAUAAGGAGAUCGAUUUGCAUGUUUUCAGAACCUUGGAUCCAAAUACAUUUCCAUUUUCCAGGAAUGGUGUUGAUUCUUACAAGCCAAUAGUUGUGGUCUUGUUGAAGAGAAUAAUGAAGAGGACAAUAAAAAUGUGGAGAUGCUUUCAGAUGUAUAGUACAAUGAUCAAGUGGAAUACUAGAGGUAUUUGAAUGGGCAAGAUUAUGGAACUUAUUCAAGUGAUGAAGAUUUUGAUGUUGUUGCUGAAACAGAGAAGUUGAGAGCCAUGUAUGCUAAAAUGAAGGAGAAAGAAUUGCCAGAAAAGGGUGUGUAUUUAGAGGAUGAAUUUGAAGAUUUAUUUGAUGUCACAGAAGGCUUAGAUGGCAUUGAUCUUGAUGACAUUGCUCUUCCACAAACACAAAUGGAGAAAGACAUGAAUUUUGCAAAGAAAGAGGAAGCAAGACAUAAAAAAGGAGAAGACAACUAAGAAGAUGGCAUUGGCAAGGAGAAGGGACCAUAAGAAGAAAUUAGUUGACGGUGACUUUGAGCUUUUAGAUUCUCCAAACUCAGAUGGUGAAAAUGAUCCUUUAGGACAAGGUAUCGAUGAAAAUGAAGAUUCACGUUUGAUAGUUUUAUUACAAGGGAGAAAAAGAAGAAGGCCCAAGAUGUUGUUAGACCCAAGAAUGCAAUUUGAUGAUACUUACCUUAAUGAUGCUGAUAGUAUGCUAGAACAACUUGUCAAAGGGAUGUGUUUCAAAUCUUACAUUCUUAAGAAGUUGAUACUACUAGCAUUCUCUCAACAUGCAUAUCAUCCACGUGAGCGUUUUGCCGCAUAGGCUUUCACACACAGCUAUUUACACGAGCAAGUGUAAUCUUUGGCACCCUUCCACAUCCAUCAGAUAAAAAUGUUUAUUGCUAUACUCUUCAUGCAAGAGUUAAUCUCGCUGGCAUGCCUAAUAAACCACAUUCAAUACGUGCAUGCAAUGGAGCAUCAAAAUACCCGCGACCUUGAUCAUGAUAAAAUUACUCGCAAGUCAUGUGUCUCAUUAAUUAGCAUUUGGCAUUUGGAUGAGGUAAUCCUUUCUCGACUCCAUCCUUUUUGGCCAAUGUGGGGACAUGGGAGAUUGAUCCAUUUAAUGGCAAUGCUGAUUCCGGAGGUGUUAUCAUUACCCUUCGUCUUAGCAGCUUAGCUUAUUAAUCUGAACGAAUACAUCUCCAUCGAUCCUCAAAAAAUAUCCACCAAUUCUUCUCAUCUUCCGCAUCUCCACCUCUCUCUCCAAAAUAGGUUUCCACCGGCCAAGCCUUAUGGGUUAUCUCCAUCGAAGGUGGUCCGCUCACUACGCCAAAGUCUUAUGAUCAUUCUUUCUAACUCUACCUUUCUCGUGGCCCCGCGAUCCUUGUCAUCGAUGGUUAUGAUGGCCCAAGACGUUCUCCGAGACAUCGAUAAGAUGAGUUGUACGUGUACAUGCCACCGCCGAUGUCCUCCUCCAACAUCACUAGAGGUGGGUGCUUUCUUUCCUCUCAAUGUUCUCAGAUAUUAACAUAAUUUUUGAGUUGGUUCGAAGGUCUGAUUUUUGUGUGCUCGGAAAUUUAAUUGUAGGAACCUCUGUUCCAUCUCGAGUGAUCUCCUCCGUGGUAAUAAUCUAGUCAGUCUCUCUCCACCAAACUCCUUUCUAACUCAGUUAUUGCAUACACACAUAUGUCGGGAUAAGAUGAAUCAUUGAUGUUUCUCCAAUCCGAUUGUUUUUUAUUGGGGCGCUAGAUGGUGAAAUUUUCUUAUUCCUUUUGUGUUCUUUAGGGUUCUCGAGAGAACAAGUACAUGAAGUUAGAAUGUAUUGUUCUAAACUACAACUACAUCUCGCUAUCUUCCUCCCUUCACACAUAAUAAUUCAGUACAAAUUGUGUAAUUUUAUUCCUCUUCUUUGGUUGUUUUGUAGAAUCAUAACAUAUGGCAUAUUGGCAUAUCGGGGUUCAUUUUCAGGUUAUUUGUUCUCUAUGAGUAGUAUUUAAUUGUGAAUUUCAUGGGAUCUUUCUAUUACAUGAGUUAUAUAAUUGUGUGUUUAACAAUUUUGUUCUUCCCGUACUGCACGACUCUACCAUUGUCACAACAAUCAUCUACCUAUGUAAAUGAAUGAAAUAUAUGUGAACACACUUGCAUUCUCUCUCAAAUUUAAGGUAACUAUAUGUGGUGCCUAUAGACUUAAUAUACAUUUUUUUGUAGUAAUAAUAUCAGUAUGUGAUUAUUAUGGUACUAAUAACAAUCCUAACCUCAGAGGUUUCUUUCGAAUGAUUACUAAGUGGAUAAGGUAUAGGAUUAUGUAGUAAAAUGGAGUGCACAUGUGUCUACUCAGCAGCCAUGACAUUUUGUAUAGCUGGUUAUGUUUCGCUCAAUAACUGGAUCAAGGUGAAGAAUGAUUACUAUUCAGAUGCAUUAACACCGCAAGGCUCACAAAUUAGUAUGAAAUAUAUUCGUUUCUUGCUCUGAUGCACUUCUAAUAGACAAUCGAAUGAUAUGUUAAAAUAUUAUGAGAAAAAACUCAUUACAAUAUAUGUUACUUCUCUUUAUGUUGGUGAUGCAUUCUUCUAAUUAUGCAAAUAUGGAGAUAACUGACCAUAUAUUAAUAGGUCCAACUUUUUAUACCAUUCAAAGAUUCAAAUAGACGUAUAUUUAUAUUAUUGUUUCCAUCAAUUCCAUAAUUUCUCACUCUAUAUAACCUCCUAUAUACUACUACACAUUCCCGGAGCAACGCACGUGGUGUCAUCUAGUAUGUCAAAGAUUGUAGAGUAGCACUUAAGUCAUUCAUAUAUUGCAAGGACGAAGCUUUGGUUUUGUGAAGAAUAAGAUGGAAAAGGUGAAGGUGCAUUGCACACAGCCAAAUUGCGCCUUCUAUCUUUUUGCAUCAAAGAUAGCUAGUGAGUCCACUUCUAUGGUCAGAGAGGAUGUAGAGCCACACUCGUGUGGAUUAAUAGAGUGGACACUAGGCUGAAUUCCACAUGGAUAGCUUCUCAUUAUGAGGCUCAGUUCAGAGUUGAUCCCAAUUGGAGGCUUGAUGCUUUCAUGGAGGCUGUUAAGGGAGAUUUUAAUUUUGAAAUAAGAAAGAGGAUAGCAUAUAGGGCUAUAUCUUAUGCCCAAAAGAAGGUUCUUGGGGAUGAAUACAAGCAAUAUCUUAGAAUUAGAGACUACUUGCAUACAUUAUUGAACAAAAAUCAUGGAAGCAUCGCUAUAGGUACCACUCAGCCAAAUCUCAAGCCACAUGCCAAUGCUAAUCCUCUAUUCACCGGGCUGUUUGUGAGUUUUCAUUCACAAGACCCAGGAUUCUUAUUCGGCUAUAGGCCAUUCAUUGGAUUAGAUGGUUGUUUUGUCAAGCUAGCUAAUGGUGCACAAGUUUUAGCUGCCUCCACAAGAGAUGGCAACAACAACAUGUUUCCUUUAGUGUUUGGAGUGGUUAACAUAAAGGACAUUAACAAUUGGACAUGAUUUCUGCAAACACCAGAGUCAGCAAUUGGAUAGGGAGAGCAACAUGGUGGAUGGACAAUCAUGUGAGAUAGGGAGAAGGUAAUAACAUAUUUCUUAUCUUUUUCAUUUAUAUGUUACAUUUGAUUUGCAUGUUGUAACUGACAACUCUUCCAUUUAUUUGUGAGAGGGAUUACUUUCAGCAGUCACAAAGAUUUUUCCAUGUUGUGAACAUAGAUUUUGCAAAAGGCACGUUCUCACAAACUUCUCUAGAGCUAGAUUCAGAGGUGAAAUCUACAAGAAAUACUUUGAUAAGGUUGUUUAUGUAUUCACUUUGAAUGAGUACAAUAUUGACAUGGAGAACUUGAAAUCUUAUGACUUAGAAGCAUGGACGUGGGUUAGAGAAAUACCCAAGGAGCACAUUAGUAGGCAUGCUUUCAACACAAGAUCCAAGACUGAUCUUGUUGUGAACAACCUCAGUGAGGUGUUCAACAAAUACAUCCUUGACUAUAGAUAAAAGCCAAUUCGUACCAUGACGGGGCUCAUCAGAACUAGAGUUAUGAAAAUAUUUUGUUUGAAAAGAAAGGGAUGUGAGUCGGUGGCUAAGAGCAAAGCAAGGUAUUGCACAACUCAUCAAUUUAGUGUUGGGCUUUCGCAAGUAAACAACACUGAUAAGACCAAUGAAGUAAACAUGCUUAAUAAGACUUGUGGUUGUUUCAGAUUUCAAUUAUGUGGUUUUCCUUGUGAACAUGCGUGUGCAACUAUAUUUAAGGCUAAGGAAAGGCGUGAGAAUUAUGUUGAUGAUUUCUUCAAGUUGAAAAAUUACAAGAAAUCAUAUGGACACAUGAUAUACCCUGUUCCACAUGAAUCUGAGUGGAUUAAGACAUCAAGUCCAGACAUCGAGCCACUAGGUUACACUAUUCAACCAGGAAGGCCAAAGAAAAAUAGAAUAAAAGGGCAUGAGGAGAGUGGUUAUGCUUAUGCAAGAGAAAAAGAAGGAACAAUACAUUGUGGAAAUUGCAAGGAACUUGGCCACAAUGUCAAGGGCCGCAACAAGCCACUAAGAGCAUAUCUUGCUCUUAGGGUGAGAAAACAUGUGGUAAGCGCUCUCUUUUCCUUAAGAAAUUACAUUGCCGGUACUUGAUUCAAGUAUGGUACCAAAUAACCGCAUUUUUACUCUCUACAAUGCAAGACAUUGACAACAAGAACACAUCGGAGAAAUGCCAGUCCACCAGAUACACCUAAUACAGAACCUAAGCUACUCUAAGAGCGGGUGCAACAACAACUAGUAGGGGGAGAGGAAAAGUAGCUACAAAGAAGCCUAGAAGUUCAGCAUCGGGAGCACCUAUGACUGCUAGCACUGCUGCUCCAACAGAAUCUAGUAAGGGGAGAGAAAUAGGAGCAUCCAAAGUACCUAAAGGUACUCCUAAAACAUCAACUGGUAAGGGGAGAGGAAGAGGAGCACCUAAAGUAUCUGCAGCUAAAUUCCAGGUAAAAGAAUCACUUCUAGAAUAAAUGUAGGUGGCAAUAUUUUAUUGUUGUUUACAUCAUCUCAUAAUAUUCAGGUCCAAGAAUCACAUGCAUCAUUAUCAAGUGAUGCAGCAAUUGUGAGAGGAAGAGGGCCUGCUAGUAGUGGAACGGGGUUGCAUUUCAACCUAAUUAUGGACAUAAUAGAUCUUAUGGAAGAAGUUCAAGUGGGAGAAUGCACUCCUAGUUCACCAUUGGUGCUAGUGCAACUGCUACAGAUGGUGGUGCUAGAGAGGAGUAGCAAUUACCUCAUUUGAUAGCCUAUAUAGUUAAAAACUCAUGUCUCAUGUUUUUAUUUUGAACCCCUAUUAUGUUUUUAUUUUAAUAUCUCUAUCAUGUUGAACUCAUGCCUCAUGGAGAACUCAUAUGCAGAGUUUGAUUUGAUGAUGUUUACCUUCUUUGUGUAAUGGAUUAGGAAAAUGCAAUGUGGACAAAAGGCAUGUGUUCUGUCAAAAAUAUGGUAGCUUAUAUCAGACUUAUGCACAUCGUUAUGUGAUGACCCACAAGUAUAGGGGAUCAAUCGUAGUCCUUUCGAUAAGUAAGAGUGUCGAACCCAACGAGGAGCAGAAGGAUCUGACAAGUGGUUUUCAGCAAGCUAAAAUCUGCAGGCACUGAAAUUGUCGGUAACAAGUGAUUGUGUGGUGAGAUGAUUCGUAGCAAGCAACAAGUAGAAAAAGUAGAAAUGGUGUAGCAAAGUGGCCCAAUCCCUUUUGUAGCACAGGACUAGCCUGAAAAAAGUCUUAUAGGAGAAAAAACGCUCCUGAGGACACACGGGAAUUUCUGUCACGCUAGUUUCAUCAUGUUCAUAUGAUUCGCGUUUGUUACUUUGAUAGUUUGAUAUGUGGGUGGACCGGCGCUUGGGUACUUACCUUACUUGGACAAGCAUCCACUUAUGAUUAACCCCUCUCGCAAGCAGCCGCAACUACGAAAGAAGAAUUAAGACAAAGUCUAACCAUAGCAUUAAACUAGUGGAUCCAAAUCAGCCCCUUACGAAGCAACGCAUAAACUAGGGUUUAAGCUUCUGUCACUCUAGCAACCCAUCAUCUACUUACUACUUCCCAAUUCCUUCCUCUAGGCCCAAAUAAUGGUGAAGUGCUAUGUAGUCGACGUUCACAUAACACCACUAGAGGAAAAACAACAUACAACAUAUCAAAUUACCGAACGAAUACCAAAUUCACAUGACUACUAUUAGCAUGACUUAUCCCAUGUCCUCAGGAGCAAAAGUAACUACUCACAAAGCAUAAUCAUAUUCAUGACCAGAGAGGUAAUGAAUAGCAUCAAGGAUCUGAACAUAAACUCUUCCACCAAAUAAUCCAACUAGCAUCAACUACAAAGAGUAAUCAACACUACUAGCAACCUUACAAGUACCAAUCGGAGUCGCGAGACGGAGAUUGGUUACAAGUGAUGAACUAGGGUUUGGAGAUGAGAUGGUGCUGAUGAAGAUGUUGAUGGUGACGAGUCGCCUCCGAUGAGAGGAGUGUUGGUGAUGACGAUGGCGACGAUUUCCCCCUACGGGAGGGAAGUUUCCCCGGCAGGAUCGUCCUGCCGGAGCUCUAGAUUGGUUCUGCUCAAGUUCUGCCUCGUGGAAGCGGCGAAACCACGAAAAAGCUACUCCUUGAUUUUUUCCUGGAAAAAACCCUCCAUAUAGAAAAAGAGGGGAGCAAGUGGGCCAGUGGGCUGCCAACAAGCCCUCAUGGCGCGACCUGGGGGGGUGGCCACACCGUGCAGGCUUGUGGGCACCCCCUGGUGCCCCUCUUGCACUUCUUCGGCCCAGUAUUUUUGAUAAAUCGGGAAAAAAAAUCCUCGUUGAUUUUUACGGCAUUUGGAGUUGCGUAGGAUAGGUAUCUCAACUUUGCUCCACUUUCAGGCCAGAAUUCGAGUUGCCGGCAUUCCCCCUCCUCAUGUAUACCUUGCAAAAUAAGAGAGAAAAGGCAUAAGAAUAGUACCGUGAAGUGAAAUAACAACCAAUGAAGCGAUAGAUAUCAACAUGAAAACAUGAUGCAAAAUGGACGUAUCAACUCCCCAAGCUUAGACCUCGCUUGUCCUCAAGCGAAAGCCUAGCUCAAUAAAUAUGUCCACAUGUUUAGGGAGAGAGGUGUCGACAAAACAAGAUACGAACAUGCAUGCAUCAUGAUCAUGAUCAGAACAGCAAUACCAACAUAUAAUCUCUCAUGCUAAAGUGACAAUUCCUUCACAAAGUAAAGCAUGGAUCAAGAACCUUACCGAGAAGUAACAACCGAUAGCCUUUAGUCAUUGAAGCAAUUGCAAUUUAUGACAACAUCAGAAAGAGUCAAAUAAGAGCUUGUAAAGAAAACCCACAUACUCAAACAUUCUUUCGUCCUCUACAAUUGCUACAACUCACGUGGUACUCAUGAGAUCAAAGUUUCAGGUGGACACAUAGAAAGAUAGGGGCUUAUAGUUUUGCCUCCCAACUGCUUACCUCAAGGGUAAUGUCAACAAUAAUAAUUCAUGAAUACUUACCCCCCAAGUUGACAUAUGAAUAUAGAUCUUUCCCAAGCAUAUGACGGUAGCCAAGAUAAAGGCGGAAUAAGGAAUUGGUGAAGAUCACCAUGACUCUUUCAAGGGAAAAAAGUAAAGGUACAAGAUAGGCCCUUCGUAGAGGGAAGCAGAGGUUGUCAUGCGCUUUUGAGGUUUGGAUAGGUGCCCUGUUAGUGGGUAGGAACGUCACUUUAUAUUGCCCCCUGUGAUAAAGAACUUUAUUAUGCAGUCUGUCGCUUUUAUGUCUUCCUCAUCACAGGUUCGUAUAAAGCUUAUUUUCCACACACUAAUAGAUCAUACAUAUUAGAGAGCAAUUUUUAUUGCUUGCACCGAUGACAACUUACUUGAGGGAUAUUAUUCAAUCCAUAGGCAGGUAUGGUGGACUCUCAUGGCAAAAUGGGUUGAAGGUUUAUGGAUGCACAAGUAGCAUCUCUACUUAGUGCGGGAGGUUUGGCUAAUGUGAGGUGGAAGCAAUCGUCACAUGCAAAGGGAUCUCUAAUCAUAUAACAUUGUUCGGAACCAAGCAAACACAAUUCAUUAUGUUGUCUUCCUUGUCCAACAUCUACUUCUAGGCAUGCAAUAGUUUAGUGAGUGUUCACAAUCAUAGAUGGUGUCAGAGAUGAUAUAUUUAUAUGUGAACCUCUCCUUCUUUAUCACUUCCUAUUAAUUGCAACAAUGACCAAGGUCUACGUUUGCCUACCCUCAACAAGUUUCAAUCCUCAUUCUUUUUAUAUGUGAAGCCAUCACUUCCCAUAAGAUCAUUACAUGAUCUUUCAUGCUUUUGUUCUAUUCUCACUCUUUUGAUCAUGGCAAGAGGCAAAGCCCUUCAACUAAGAUACUCUUUAUUAUAUGGCUCACGAGCAAGAAUACAUUGGAGGUGACACAAAGCAAAACUCAAGACUAAAACACUAAGACUUUUAAACUACUAGAGAAAGAGAAAACUGAAAAGGAAAACUAAAACAAAAGGUAAAGGCAAAAGAUGUGAUGGUGAUACGAUACCGGGGCAACUCCCCCAAGCUUGGCACAAGCCAAGGGGAUUGCCCAUACCAAUGCUCAGUUGCCUUCCUUUGGUGGUGAUGGUGGAGUUGUUGCAACUUGAGUUUGAUCCUCCGUCUUCCAAGGCAUAGGUGCUCCAUCAUGGAAAGAUGAAUGAGUCUCCAGAAUCCUCAAAUUUGCAGCCAACCAUAUAGAUUUAAAUCUAUACUCAUACUCAGAGUUUUGGUUCUGUAGGUCAUAGAUCUGGGCCUGGAGUUGAUCAAUCCUGUCAUAGAGCCUGGAGAGGUGCUUUCUAAUGUCAUUGGCGUCAAUCCUGUGCUUGUUGGUGAACUCCGUGAUCAUCAUGUGGUUGGUGUUGAGUCCACGCUCCACCAUCCCUUCGCACUUGAAGACUUGUUGUUCCAUUGCUUCGAGCCUCGUCUCCAUGCUUCCGCUCUUCUUAGGCCCCUCAACAUCACGGAUGUGCAACAUCCCCUCUCGCAUCUCGAUAGAUUGAGGGUGUUGCAACACUCCCGUGAGGUAGGGAUUGAUGACCUUCUCGAAGAUCUUGUCCUUCGGAGCUUUUGGAGAAGUCAUAGCGAUCUAGAUCUGCAACAGAAACAGGCUCGACACAAAAAACAGAGGAAAUCUGCGUGAUGCAUGGGUCAGAGCAAAUGGAAGUAUAUAUAAUGAUUUUUUUCAGACCAGAAGGAGUACCUUGCACGAAAACGGAGUCCGCGAGGCCCAUGAGGUGGCCACAAGCCCUCACGACACGGCCAGGGGGUGGGCCCGCGCCGUGCAGGCUUGUAGCCUCCUCGCGCACUUUCCGCACUACUUCCAAUUUUUGUAUUUUUUCAAAUAUUCCAAAAUGGAGAAAAUUUCCUACUGGAAAAUUUUUGGACUGUGUUUUCUUACCGAAUCACAUACCUCUUCGUUUUCGGAGUCUGAAACAGGUUGAUAAAUAUCUCUUAGGUAUUCUUUCGGGGUUAUGGUAUUGAUGAUAUUGCUUUAAACAUUUAUGGGAGUACCUGAGAUAUAAUGCUUGAUUCUCUGCCCAUUUACCACUCUCGGACAAUUACCUUCCAUGUUGUUGAUCUUGAUAGCACUGAAACGAUAUACUUCCUCAACAACAUAGGGACCUUCCCAUUUAGAGAGAAGCUUGCCUGCAAAGAAUCUUAAACGAGAGUUAUAUAGCAAGACAUAAUCACCUACAUUGAACUCAUGUUUUUGUAUCCUCUUAUCAUGCCACCUCUUAACCUUCUCUUUGAACAACUUUGCAUUCUCAUAUGCCUGAGUUCUCCACUCAUCAAGCAAGCUAAUAUCAAAUAACCUCUUCUCACCGGCAAGUUUGAAAUCAAAGUUGAACUCUUUGAUUGCCCAAUAAGGUUUAUGCUCUAGCUCAAGAGGUAAAUGACAUGCUUUACCGUACACCAUUCUUUAUGGAGACAUGCCCAUGGGAUUCUUAUAGGCAGUUCUAUAAGCCCACAGUGCAUCAUCGAGCUUCUUAGACCAAUUCUUUCUAGACCUGUUGACGGUCUUUUGUAGAAUUAGUUUAAUCUCUCUAUUUCUUAGCUCUACUUGACCACUGGACUGAGGGUGAUAGGGAGACGCAAUUCUAUGGUUGACAUCAUACUUAGUAAGCGUUUUACGGAAAGCACCAUGAAUGAAGUGUGAACCACCGUCGGUCAUUAGAUAUCUAGGGACUGCAAAUCUAGGGAAGAUAACUUCUUUCAGCAUCUUGAUAGAGGUGUUGUGAUCAACACUACUAGUGGGGAUAGCUUCUACCCACUUAGUGACAUAAUCACAACAACUAGGAUGUGAGUAUACCCGUUGGAUUUUGGAAAAGGUCCCAUAUAAUCAAAGCCCCAAACAUCAAAUGGUUCAAUGACAAGUGAAUAGUUCAUAGGCAUUUCCUGAGUUUGCUAAUAUUACCUAUUCUUUGACAUUCGUCACAAGACAAGACAAACUUACGGGCAUCCUUGAAGAGAGUGGGCCAACAGAAACCUGAUUGCAAUAGCUUGUGUGCAGUUCUAUCUCCCGCAUGGUGUCCUCCGUAGGCCUCGGAGUGAAACUUCUGCAGGAUCUGUCCCUGUUCUUGUUCAGGUACACAACGUCUAAUAACACCAUCUAUUCCUUCCUUAUAAAGGUGAGGAUCAUCCCAAAAGUAGUGUCUCAAGUCAAAGAAGAAUUUCUUAUUUUGCCGGUAUGUGAAACUAGGUGGUAUGUAUUUGGCAACGAUGUAGUUUGCAUAAUCAGCAUAGCAUGAUGCACUACGUGAAGCAUUGAUGACAUUCAAUUGCUCAUCGGGAAAGCUAUCAUCAAUAGGUUGUGGGUCAUCAAGGACGUUCUCCAACCUAGACAAGUUAUCUGCUACUGGGUUAUCAGCACCCUUUCUGUCAACAACGUGCAAAUCAAAUUCUUGUAGCAAGAGAACCCAUCUAAUAACUCUAGGUUUAGCGUCUUUCUUGUCCAUGAGGUACUUAAUAGCAGCAUGAUGAGUGUGAAUAGUGACUUUGGAAUCAACUAUGUAAGAUCUGAAAUUUUCACAUGCAAACACGACUGCUAAAAAUUCCUUUUCCGUAGUGGCAUAGUUUCUCUGGGCACUGUCUAGAGUUUUACUAGGGUAGUGAAUAACAUUCAACUUCUUAUCAAGUCUUUGCCCUAGAACAACACCAACAUCAUAGUCACUAGCAUCACACAUGAUCUCAAAAGGAAAGUUCCAAUCAGGUGGUUGAACAAUAGGUGCAGUUAUCAAAGCCCUCUUAAGUAUUUCGAAGGCUUCCUCACAAUCAUCGUCAAAGACAAAAGGAAUAUCCUUUUGCAAGAGAUUGGUAAGAGGCCUAGAAAUCUCAGAGAAGUCUUUAAUGAAUCUUCUAUAGAAACCAGCAUGACCAAGGAAACUUCUUAUACCUUUGAUAUCUAUGGGGUAUGGCAUUUUCUCGAUUGCAUCAACCUUAGCCUUAUCGACUUCAAUACCUCUUUCAAAAAUUUAUGUUCUAAGACGAUGCCUUCAUUAACCAUAAAGUGGCACUUCUCCCAAUUCAACAUAAGAUUGGUGUCUGUACAUCUCUGUAAGACUCGAUCAAGGUUGCUGAGGCAAUCAUCAAAGGAAGACCCGUAAACGGAGAAGUCAUCCAUGAAAACCUUAACAAUCUUUUCACAAAAGUCAGAGAAUAUAGCCAUCAUACAUCUUUGAAAGGUGGCAGGUGCAUUACAUAAGCUAAAAGGCAUACAUCUAUAAACAAAGGUACCGAAAGGGCAGGUGAAAGUGGUUUCUCCUGAUCAUAUUGUGCAACUAGUAUUUGGGAGAAACCAGAAUAACCGUCUAGAAAGGAGAAGUGUGUGUGUUUAGACAGCCUUUCUAGAAUUUGGUCGAUAAAAGGCAGAGGGUAAUGAUAUUUCCUAGUGGCCUUAUUCAACUUCAUAAAAUCAAUCACCAUCCUAUAGCGAGUAAUAAUCCUCUGUGGGAUCAAUUCAUCCUUAUCAUUAGGGACAACGGUAAUGCCUCCCUUCUUAGGAACGCAAUGCACCGGACUUACCCAAUCGCUAUGAGCAAUAGGAUAGAUAAUACCCGCUUCUAGGAGCUUUAGUAUUUAUUUUCUUACUACUUCUUUCAUCUUAGGAUUUAAUCUCCUUUGAUGAUCAACAACUGGUUUGAAAUCAGGAUCAGUUUUGAUCUUGUGCUGGCAUAGAGUGGGACUAAUGCCCUUAAGAUCAUCAAGAGUAUAUCCAAUAGCAGCACGACGCUUCCUCAGAGUUUUUAGUAACUUAUUUUCUUCAUGCUCCGAGAGGCUAGCACUAAUUAUAACAGGAUAUAUCUCUUUUUCAUCAAGAUAGGCGUACUUAAGAGUAUGCGGCAACUGUUUAAGCUCGAACACAGGAUCACCCUUUGGUGGGGGUGGAUCCCCAAGCAGUUCAACAUGCAAGUUAUUCUUAACGAUAGGAUAUUGUUCCAAGACAACUCUAUCUAUUUCAGCCCUUUCAUCCAUAUGCAUAUCAUUUUCAUGCUCAAGCAAGUAUUGCUCUAAGGGAUCAGUAGGAGGCACAUCAAUAGAAGCUAAGGCAAUAGUUUCAUCCUUACUAGGCAACUCCUUUUCAUGAGGUUGUCUACCAAACUUAGAGAAACUGAACUCAUGUGACACACCUUCAAAGCCAACAGUGACAGUUUGCUUCUCACAAUCAAUAUGAGCAUUGGCAGUAUUGAGAAAAGGUCUGCCAAAUAUGAUGGGACAAAAGCUAUCUUGUGCGGUAGCAAGAACGAGGAAAUCAGCAGGAUACUUCGUUUUACCACACAAGACUUCAACAUCCCUAACAAUUCCGACAGGGCAGAUAGUAUCUCUAUUGGCAAGCUGAAUAGUGACAUCUAUAGGUUCUAUCUCUACAGGUGCAAUCUCAUCUUUGAUUUCAUCGUAUAAGGAUUGAGGUAUUGCACUAACACUAGCACCCACGUCACAUAAGCCAUGAUAACAAUGAUCUCCUAUCUGAACAGAAACCACAUGCAUACCAACAACAGGCCUAUGUUUGUCUCUAGCGUGAGGUUUAGCAAUUCUAGCAGCAUCUUCACAGAAGUGAAUAUUAUGUCCCUCAACAUCGUCGGACAGAAGAUCUUUGAUGAUAGCAAUGCUAGGUUCAACUCUAAUCUGCUCUGGGGGUGUAGGUGUUCUAAUGUAGCCUCUACAUAUCACAGUUGAAGCUUUAGAAUGAUCCUUUAUCCUAAUAGGGAAAGGUGGUUUCUGAAUGUAGGCACUGGGAACAAUAGGAUCGUUAUAGGGAAUGAAUUUCUCUUCAACAGGAGUGGGUUUAACUACAUUGACUUCUAAAGGAGGAUGAUAUUUAAACCACUUCUCUCUAGGGAGAUCAACAUGAGCAGCAAAGGAUUCACACAAUGAAGCUACUAUCUUAGAGUCAAGUCCAUACUUAGUGCUAAAGUCACAAAAAGUAUUUGUCUCAACAAAGGAUUUAACGCAAUCAAACAUGAAAUUCAUACCUGACUCCUUACCUUCUUCAAGCUCCCAAUCUUGAGAGUUGCGUUUGAUUCUCUCCAAUAAAUUCCAUUUGAAGUCAAUAUCUCUCUUCAUAAAAGAACCGGUACAAGAAGUGUUAAGCAUGGUGCGAUCAUCAUGAGAAAGCCGAGCAUAGAAAUUCUGAAUGAUAAUUUCUCUCGAGAGCUCAUGAUUGGGGCAUGAAUAUAGCAUUGAUUUAAGCCUCCCCCAAGCUUGAGCGAUGCUUUCUCGAUUGUAGUCUCAUGAUCCAGUAUCAUCACAUAGCCUAUACCAUGUCAACGCCUUAUCCUUCAAAGAUAAAGGAAAGACCUUCUUCUUGACCUCAUCCUUGGGCACACCUGCAAGCUUAAAUAAACCACUAACCUCAUCUACAUAGAUUAGAUGCAAGUCCAGAUGUGAUGUUCCAUCUCCUGUAAAAGGAUUAGCUAGCAGUUUCUCAAGCAUAUCCGAAGGAAAUUGAAAGCAAAUAUUUUCAGUAGGUGCAGCAGGUUGAGGAGCAACUCUUUGUGCUUCUGUUUGAGGUGAAGAUACCCCGAACAAGCCCCUCAAAGGAUUAGUAUCCAUAGUGACAAGUGACAACAAAUUUCAGCACACUAUAUGAAUGUUUCCUUACCAAGUUCCACUUACCAAAGGCGCUUCACUCCCCGGCAACGGCGCCAGAAAAGAGUCUUGAUGACCCACAAGUAUAGGGGAUCAAUCGUAGUCCUUUCGAUAAGUAAGAGUGUCGAACCCAAUGAGGAGCAGAAGGAUCUGACAAGUGGUUUUCAGCAAGGUAAAAUCUGCAGGCACUGAAAUUGUCGGUAACAAGUGAUUGUGUGGUGAGAUGAUUCGUAGCAAGCAACAAGUAGCAAAAGUAGCAACGGUGCAACAAUGUGGCCCAAUCCCCUUUUUAGCAAGGGACAAGCCUGGACAAAGUUUUAUAGGAGGAAAAACGCUCCCGAGGACACACGGAAAUUUCUGUCAUGCUAGUUUCAUCAUGUUCAUAUGAUUCGCGUUCGUUACUUUGAUAGUUUCAUAUGUGGGUGGACCGGUGCUUGGGUACUGCCUUACUUGGACAAGCAUCUCACUGAUGAUUAACCCUCUCGUAAGCAUCCGCAACUACAAAAUAAGAAUUAAGACAAAGUCUAACCAUAGCAUUAAACUAGUGGAUCCAAAUCAGCCCCUUACAAAGCAACGCAUAAACUAGGGUUUAAGCUUCUGUCACUCUAGCAACCCAUCAUCUAAUUACUACUUCCCAAUGCCUUCCUCUAGGCCCAAAUAAUGGUGAAUUGUUAUGUAGUCGACGUUCACAUAACACCACUAGAGGAAAAACAACAUACAACAUAUCAAAUUACCGAAUGAAUACCAAAUUCACAUGACUACUAUUAGCAUGACUUAUCCCAUGUCCUCGGGAACAAAAGUAACUACUCACAAAGCAUAAUAAUAUUCAUGACCAGAGAGGUAAUGAAUAUCAUCAAGGAUCUGAACAUAAACUCUUCCACCAAAUAAUCCAACUAGCAUCAAUUACAAAGAGUAAUCAACACUACUAGCAACCUUACAAGUACCAAUCGGAGUCGCGAGACGGAGAUUGGUUACAAGUGACAAACUAGGGUUUGGAGAUGAGAUGGUGCUGAUGAAGAUGUUGAUGGUGACGAGUCCCCUCCCAUGAGAGGAGUGUUGGUGAUUACGACGACGACGAUUUCCCCCUCCGGGAGGGAAGUUUCCCCGGCAGGAUCGUCCUGCCGGAGCUCUAGAUUGGUUCUGCUCAAGUUCCUCCUCGUGGCAGCGACGAAACCACGAAAAAGUUCCUCCUUGAUUUUUUUCCUUGACGAAACCCUCCAUAUAGCAAAAGAGAGGAGCAAGUGGGCUAGUGGGCUGCCCACAAGCCCUCAUGGCGUGGCCUGGGGGCAUGGCCGCGCCGUGCAGGCUUGUGGGCACCCCCUGUUGCCCCUCCGGCACUUGUUCGGCCCAGUAUUUUUGAUAAAUCGGGAAAAAAAUCCUCAUUGAUUUUUACGUUAUUUGGAGUUGCGCAGAAUAGGUAUCUCAACUUUGCUCCACUUUCAGGCCAGAAUUCCAGUUGCCGUCAUUCUCCCUCUUCAUGUAAACCUUGCAAAAUAAGAGAGAAAAGACAUAAGAAUAGUACCGUGAAGUGAAAUAGUAGCCAAAGAAGCGAUAAAUAUCAACAUGAAAACAUGAUGCAAAACUGAUUCAUAUACAUUAUUGUCAGUUUCACAUGCUAUCAAAAUUGUCGUUCCAAAGUACAAAAAUAAUCCCGCAGCUCUUACAUACAUGGUUUGAUGAAGAGAAAUAGACAAGCAAAAAUAAUAGUUUGAAUUUCUUUCAUCACAUUGAUAUUUGUCCAAAUUCCUACAUACAUAUCGGUAGUUUAAUACUACCACAAAAAUCACACUUCAACGUCACUAGGUCAAUACAACAUCACUAGUUCACUACUUUACAUAUAUAACCACACUCCACCAUCACCAACAGACUCAAAUACACGUAAAGUGGAUGUAGCUACAUUCAGUCACUCAAUUGUUGUCCAAGUACGUCACAACAACAACAACAGCUGCAAACAGAAGCACGACAAAUGAAAUGCCAAGCUCUUUUUUCAUCUGCACCAAGCUGAGCAACUUCACGGCACACAACUCAUGCACUGUUAGCAGCUCAUCAUUCUUCAUGAAAAUGGCUUCUAGGUGAUACAUCAAACCAGCUACCACAUAAUCACUAGAGGAGUUAAUUGCAUCCCUAUUCACACAUACAAUAGGCCAACAAUGUUUGUACAUGGACUUGCAAGGAGAAACAAUUCAGAGGAAGAAAUAAGCUUGCUGACCGUGAUGGUCGAGGGGGAGGGGGGAGCUCGUCGGGGGGGGGGGACUACGUGCUCGAGGCACGGUAUCCGCAUGCCACUGUCGCGCUCUUUCAACACCCACCGCCACAGUUGAUGUCAUUCACCACCCGCAUUUGGCGAUGAUGUCAUUUAACACCCUCAUAUGCCGUUGAUGUCAUUCAGCACCCAUAGUUGCCGUCGAUUCCCUUCAGCACCCGCCGUUGCUGUCGUUAUCGCCGCCGCCGCCUCCACCUCUCUAAGCUAAGCCCUAACCCUAGGCGUGAGCGAGAGAGGUGCAUGCAGUAAGAAGUUGGGAAAACGGUGCGUGUGCUAGAGGCGAACAUGACACGGCUCGGGUCAAUCGUAGAUCACCAGGACCAGGUCGUUUGGUCGGGCACAAUGGUGUGGACUGGUUUAACAUGGUGUCAUCGUUUUGUCAUGACACAUGACAUGGGGUGGCUUAUCUCGAGUGGUUGAGGCCAAUGUUCGCCAGCGUACUCCGGGAAUGGGAUUGGGAACUAUUGGGGAACGUUGCAUGGAAAACAAAUUUUUUUACUACGCACACGAAGACCUAUCAUGGUGAUGAUCAUCUACGAGAGGGAGAUCAGAUCCACAUACCCUUGUAGAUCGCUAAGGGGGAAGCGGUAAGAAACACGGUUGAUGUAGUGUAACGUCUUCACGAUCCAAAUAGCCGUCGUCCCACGAUCCUUCCUGAUCUAGCAUCGAACGGACGACACUAUCUCCGCGUUCAGCACACCUACAACUCGAUGACAAUCUCCACCUUCUUGAUCCAGCAAGAGAGACGAAGAGGUAGAUGAAUUCUCCAGCAGCACGACGCCGUGGAGGUGAUGAUGGUGGAGCUACUCUGGCAAGGCUUCGCCAUGCCGUACCGAACUAGCUACAGGGUGUCACGAAAUAGUGGAUGGAGAGAGGGCUGCACAAAGGCUUGAGGUGCAAAAACGCUCUCAAACCUCCACUAUAUAUAGGAGGAACCAAGGGGAGGGUGGCUUGUCUCCUACUCCAAGGAGGAGGAGUCGGCCCAGCCAAGAGGGAGGAGUCCUCCUCCAAUUCGGUUUGGUGGAGGACUCCUUCCCAUCUUGUNNNNNNNNNNNNNNNNNNNNNNNNNNNNUUCUUUAUUUUUGCCUUGUCAAAAAUAGGCUUAUUGGGCUGGCCUCACAAGCCCACUAAGGGCUGGUGCACCACCAUGGGCCUAUUAGGUCCUCUCCCGGGUGGGUGGCCCUUCCCGGUAAAACCCCGUAACCCAUUCGUCACUCCCGGUACUUUACCCGUAAUGCCCGAAAUCUUUCUGGAAGCCAAAUGCAACAAUCCUAUAUAUGAAUCAUCGUUUCCGGACCAUUCCGGAGACACUCUGACGUCCGAGAUCUCAUUUGGAACUCCGAACAACAUUCGGUUACCAACAUCAAUAAUUCAACUGUACCGAAAACGUCACCGAACCUUAACUGUGCAGACCCUACGGUUCGAGAACUAUGUAGAAUUGACCGAGACACUCUCCGGUCAAUAUAUAAUAGCGGGACCUUGACGUCCAUAUUGGACCCUACAUAUUCUAUGAAGAUCUUAUCGGUUGAACCUCUAUGUCAAGGAUUCACACAAUCCCGUAUAUCAUUCCCUUUUUCCUUCGGUAUGUUACUUGCCCGAGAUUCGAUCGUCGGUAUCGACAUACCUAUUUAAAUCUCGUUACCAGCAGGUCUCUUUACUCGUUCCGUAAUACAAGAUCCCGUGGCUAACUCAUGAGUCACAUUCCUUGCAAGGCUUGUUUAUGAUGUUGAAUUACCGAUGGGCCCCGAGAUACCUCUCCGUCACACACAGUGACAAAUCCCAGUCUUGAUCCAUGCUAACUCAACGGACACCUUUGGAGAUACAUGUAGAUCACCUUUAUAGUCACCCAACAAUGUUGCAACGUUUGAUACACACAAGGCAUUCCUCUGGUGUCAGUGAGUUACAUGAUCUCAUGGUCAUAUGAAUGUAUACUUGACAUGCUGAAAACUAUAGCAACAAAAUGACACAAUCAUAUGCUACAUUUAUAGUUUGGUUCUUGUCCAUCACAUCAUUCUCGUAAUGAUGUGAUCCCGUCAUCAAGUGACAACACUUGUCUAUGGCUAGGAAACCUUAACCAUCCUUGAUCAACAAGCUAGUCAAGUAGAGGCUCACUAGGGACAUUGUUUGUCUAUAUAUCCACACAUGCAUUUAUGUUUCCAUUCAAUACAAUUAUAGCAUGGAUAAUAAACAAUUAUCUUGAAACAAGAAAUAUAAUAAUAACUAUUUUAUAUUGCCUCUAGGGCUUAUUUCCAACAGUCUCCCACUUGCACUAGAAUCAAUAAUCUAGCUUCAUAUCUCUAUGUGAUUUACAAUGUAAUGAAUCUAACACCCAUACAGUUCUAGUGUUGAUCAUGCUUUUCUCAUGGAAGAGGCUUAGUCAGCGGAUCUGCAACAUUCAGAUUCGUGUGCACUUUGCAAAUAUUUAUGUCCUCCUCCUUGAUGUAAUCACGGAUGGCAUUGAAGCAUCGCUUUAUGUGUGUGGUCCUCUUGUGAAACCUUGGUUCCUUGGCUAGAGCAAUGGCACCAGUGUUGUCACACAACAGAUUUAUUGGGUCCAGUGCACUUGGUACUACUCCAAGAUUUGACAUGAACUGCUUCAUCCACACACCCUCUUUAGCCGUCUCUGAGGCAGCCAUGUACUCCACUUCACAUGUAGAAUCAGCUAUGACACUUUGCUUGGAAGUGCACCAGCUUACCGCACCCCCGUUAAGAAUAAAUGUGUAUCCGGUUUGAGACUUAGAGUCAUCCAGAUCAGUGUCGAAGCAUUUAUCAACAUAACCCUUUACGACGAGCUCUUCGUCGCCUCCAUAAACGAGAAACAUUUCCCUAGUCCUUUUCAGGUACUUCAGAAUAUUCUUGACCGCUGCCUAGUGCACCACUCCUGGAUCACUCUGAAACCUGCCUGCCAUACUUAUGUCCAGGCUGACAUCUGGUCUUAUGCAUAGAAUUGCAUACAUGAUAGAUCCUAUGGCUGAAUCAUAGGGGACGACACUCAACUUUUCUCUAUCUUGUGCAGUUACUGGAUAUUGAGUCUUACUCAACUUUAUACCUUGUAACACAGGAAAGAACCCCUUCUUGGAUUGUUCCAUUUUGAACUCCUUCAAAACUUUAUCAAGGUAUGUGCUUUGUGAAAGAUCUAUCAGGCGCCUUGACCUAUAUCUAGUGAUCUUUAUGCCCAAUAUCUAAGUAGCUUCUCCUAGAUCCUUCAAUGAAAAACAUUUAUUCAAGUAAUCCUUUACGCUUUCCAAAAACUCUACAUUGUUUCCAAUCAGCAAUAUGUCAUCCACAUAUAAUAUUAGAAACGCUAUAGAGCUCUGAUACGUCUCCUUCGUAUCUACUUUUCCAAACUCUUUUGCCCUUGUUUUGGACUCUAAUUUGCAUGAUUUGAAUGGAACUAACCCGGACUAACGUUGUUUUCAGCAGAAUUGCCAUGGUGUUCUUUUUGCGCAGAAAUUCUCGGAAUGAACUGGAAAUUUAUGAGGAUUUUUUGUGGAAUAUAUAAAAAAUACUGGCGCAAGAAUCAACCGGAGAAGUGGAGCGAGGAGCCCACAAGCCCACCAAGCGCGGCCCCCCUGGCCGCGCCUAGCAGGCUUGUGGGGCCCUCGGAGCUCCGCCGCCUCCAACUCCAGCUCUAUUUAGUCCCUUUCUUCCGGAAAAAAAUCAAGGAGAAGAGUUCAUCGCGUUUUACGAUACGGAGGCGCCGCCACCACCUGUUCUUCCUCUGGAGGGCAGAUCUGGAGUCCGUUCUGGGCUCCGGAGAGGGGAGAUCGUCGCCAUCGUCAUCACCAACCUUUCUUCGUCGCCAAUUCCAUGAUGCUCUUCAUCGUUCGUGAGUAAUCUCAUCGUAGGCUUGCUGGACGGGGAUGGGUUGGAUGAGAUCUAUCAUGUAAUCGAGUUAGUUUUGAUGGGGAUUGAUCCCUAGUAUCCACUAUGUUCUGAGAUUGAUGUUGCUACUACUUUGCCAUGAUUAAUGCUUGUCACUAGGGCCCGAGUGCUAUGAUUUCAGAUCUGAACCUAGUAUGUUCUCGUCAAUAUGUGUGUGUUCUUGAUCCUAUCUUGCAAGUUGUAUUCAGCUACUAUGUGUUACGACCCGGCAACCCCGGAGUGACAAUAGCCGGAACCACUCCUGGAGAUGACCAUAGUAUGAGGAGUUCAUCUAUGCACUAAGUGCCAAUGCUUUGUUCCGGUUCUCUAUUAAAAGGAGAACCUUAAUAUCCCGUAGUUUCCAUUAGGACCCCGCUGCCACGGGAGGGAUGGACAAUAGAUGUCAUGCAUGUUCUUUUCCCUAAGCACGUAUGACUAUAUACGGAAUACAUGCCUACAUUACAUUGACGAACUGGAGCUAGUUACAUAUCUCCCCAUGUUAUAACUGUUGCAUGAUGAAUGUCAUCCGGCAUAAUUAUCCAUCACCGAUCCAAUGCCUAUGAGCUUUUCCUACUGGUCCUUGCUACGUUACUUUGCCGCUACUGCUGUCACUACUGCUACUGUUACUGCUACUGCUGCCACUGCUGCUACUAUUACCAUUGCUAUUGUUGCCAUCACACCACUUUGCUACAGAUAAUUUGCUGCAAAUACUAAGUCUUCCAGGUGUGCUUGAAUUGAAAACUCAACUGCUAAUACUCGAGAAUAUUCUUUGGCUUCCCCUUGUGUCGAAUCAACAAAUUUGGGUUGAAUACUCUACCCUCGAAAACUGUUGUGAUCCCCUAUACUUGUGGGUUAUAAAGCUCCCACUAACUUUCUUGUAAAUAGAAGGUUCUCCAAAAACUUGUGUAAACCCAAACGCCUUGAUCACCUCAUCAAAGCGGUGAUUCCAACUCCAAGAUGCUUGCACCAGUCCAUAAAUGAAUUGCUCGAGCUUGCACACUUUGUGAGCAUUCUCUGGAUCAACAAAACCUUUGGGUUGCAUCAUAUACAACUAUUCCUUAAGAAACCCGUUAAGGAACGCCGUUUUGAUAUCCAUCUCCUAGAUUUCAUAAUCGAAAAAUGCAGCUAUUGCUAACAUGAUUCAGACGGACUUAAGCAUUUCUACGGGUGAGAAUGUCUCAUCGUAGUCAACUCCUUGAACUUGUGGAAAACCCUUUGCUACAAGUUGAGCUUUAUAAACGGUCACAUUACCGUCUAAGUCUGUCUUCUUCUUAAAGCUCCAUUUGUUCUGAAUAGCCUUUCGACAUUCAGGUAAUACUUCCAAAGUCCAUACUUUGUUUUCAUACAUAGAUCCUAUCUCGGAUUUCAUGGCUUCUAACCAUGUGUUGGAAUCUGGGCCCACCAUUGCUUUUCCAUAAUCCCUAGGCUCAUUGUUGUCCAACAACAUGAUUGACAAGACAUGAUUCCCAUACCACUCAGGAGCAGUACGUGCUCUUGUCGACCUGCGAGGUGUGACAAAAACUUGAUCUGAAGCUUCAUGAUCACCAUCAUUAGCUUCCUCUUCAACUGGUGUUGCCUCGACAAAAAAAUAUUUCUGCCCUGCACCACCAUCCUGUUGAAGUAGAGGUUCCACAACUUCAUCAAGGUCCAUCUUCCUCCCACUCAAUUCUUUCGAGAGAAACUCUUUCUCAAGAAAAGCUCCGUUCUUAGCGACAAACACUUUGCCCUCGGUUCUUAGAUAGAAGGUAUACCCAACAGUCUCUUUUGGGUAACCUAUGAAGACGGACUUUUCCGCUUUGGGUUCCAGCUUUUCAGGCUGAAGCUUUUUGACAUAAGCAUCACAUGCACAAACUUUAAGAAACGACAACUUUGGCUUCUUGCCAUACCACAACUCAUAUGGUGUUGUCUCAACGGAUUUUGAUGGUGCCCUAUUUAAAGUGAAUGCAACUGUCUCCAAUGCAUAGCCCCAAAAUGAUAAUGACAAAUCAGUAAGAGACAUCAUAGAACACACCUUAUCUAAUAAAGUACGAUUACGAUGUUCAGACAUACCAUGACGUUGUGGUAGUUCCAAUCGGUGUCAACUAUGAAACAAUUCCUCAUUGUCUUAAGUGAGCACUAAACUCGUAGCUCAGAUACUCACCUCCUCGACCAAAUCAUAGGAACUUGAUUUUCCUUGCUACGAUGAUUUUAGACUUCACUCUAAAAUUGCUUGAACUUUUCAAACGUUUCAGACUUGUGUUUCAUCAAGUAGAUAUAACCAUACCUACUCAAAUCGUCAGUGAAGGUGAGAAAAUAACGAUAUCCGCCGCGCGCCUCUAUGCUCAUCGGUCCGCACACAUGAGUAUGUAUGAUCUCCAACAAGUCACUUGCACGUUCCAUUGUUCUGGAGAACGAAGUCUUAGUCAUCUAGCCCAUGAGAGAUGGUUCGCAUGUGUGAAGUGAUUCAAAAUCAAGUGACUCCAAAAGUCCAUCAGCAUGGAGUUUCUUCAUGCGGUUUUCACCAAUAUGUCCUAAGCGGUAGUGCCACAAGAAAGUGGCACUAUCAUUAUUAACUCUACAUCUGUUGGCCUCAAUGUUAUGGACAUGAAUGUCAUCACAAUCGAGAUUCAAUAUGAACAAACCCCUCACAUUCGGUGCAUGACCAUAAAAGAUAUUACUCAUAUAAAUAGAACAACCGUUAUUCUCUGACUUAAAUGAGUAACUGUCUUGCAAUAAACCAGAUCCAGAUACAAUGUUCAUGCUUAACGUAGGCACUAAAUAACAAUUAUUAAAGUUCAUCACUAAUCCCGAUGGUAAUUGAAGGGAGAGCAUGCCGACUGCGAUCGCAUCAACCUUGGAACCAUUUCCCAUGCGCAUCGUCACUUCAUCCUCCGCCAGCCUUUGUUUAUUCCGCAGUUCCUGUUUCAUGUUGCAAAUGUGAGCAACAGAACUGGUAUCAAAUACACAUGCACUACUACGAGAGCUGGUGAGGUACACAUCAAUAACAUGUAUAUGAAAUAUACCUUGUUUGGCGUUGGCUGCCUUCUUAUCGGCCAAAACUUGGGGUAGUUGUGCUUCUAGUGACCAGUCCCCUUGCAAUAAUAACACUCAUUUUUCGGCUUAGGCCCAGCCUUGGGUUUCUUCGUCGAAGGGGCAACAACUUUGCCACUCUUCUUGGAGUUACCCUUCUUGCCUUUGCUGUUUUUCUUGAAACUAGCAGUCUUAUUGACCAUCAACACUUGAUGUUCUUUCUGGAUUUUUGACUCAGCGACUUUCAGCAUCGCCAACAACUCGCCAGGUGACUUAUUCAUCCCUUGCAUAUUAUAGUUCAACACGAUGCUCUUAUAGCUAGGUGGCCGUGACUGAAGAAUUCUGUCAGUGAUAGCUUCUUGCGGGAGUUCAAUGCCCAGCUCGGCUACAUGGUUAGAGUACCCAAGCAUUCUGAGCACGUGUUCACUGACACACGAAUUCUCCUCCAUUUUGUAGGCAUAGAACUUAUUGGAGGUCUCAUACCUCUCGAUCCGGGCAUUCUUCUCAAAGAUAAACUUGAACUCCUCGAACAUCUCAUAUGCUCCAUGACGUUCAAAACGUCUUUGAAGUCCCGGUUCUAAGACAUACAAAACUCCACAUUGAACUAGUGAGUAGUAAUCCAUAUGGGACUGCCAAUAGUUCAAAACAUCUUGGGUCACCGUUAGCGGGUGGUGCAUCACCUAGCGCAACAUCAAGGACAUAUUGCUUUUGUCCAGAUGUGAGGAUAUGCCUCAGAUUACGGGCCCAGUCAACAAAGUUGCUUCCAUCAUCUUUCAGCAUAGCUUUCUCUAGGAAUGUAUUAAAAUUCAGGGUUGCUACUGCGCGAGCCAUUGACCUACAACAUAAAAUUUUGCAAAGAUUACUUAGACUAUGUUCAAGACAAUUGGGUUUAGAUAAUCAUAUUACUAAUAAACUCCCACUCAAAUAGACAUCCAUCUAGUCAUUCGAGUGUGGCAUGAUCCAAUUCCACUAACUCAUGUCCGAUCAUCAUGUGAGUUGAGAUUAGUUUCAAUGGUGAACAUCUCUAUGUUGAUCAUAUCAACUAUAUGAUUCAUGCUCGAACUUUCGGUCUCUUGUGUUACGAGGCUAUGUUUGUACAUGGUAGGCUCGUCAAGUUUAACCCGAGUGUUCCACGCGUGCAACUGUUUUGCACCCGUUGUAUGUGAACGUUGAAUCUAUCACACCCGAUCAUCACGUGGUGUCUCGAAACGACAAACUAUCCCAACGGUGUACAGUCCGGGAGAACACAAUUUUAUCUUGAAAUUUUAGUGAGGGAUCACCUUAUAAUGCUACCGUCAUCCUAAGCAAAAUAAGGUGCAUAAAGGAUUAACAUCACAUGCAAAUCAAAAAGUGACAUGAUAUGGCCAUGGUCUUGUGCUUCUUGAUCUCCAUCACCAAAACACCGGCAUGAUCUCCAUCAUCACCGGUGCCACCAUGAUAUCCAUCAUCAUGAUCUUGAUCAUUGUGCUGCCAUCGAGGUUGUCGCGCUAUCUAUGCUGUUACUACUAAAGCUACUGCCUAGCGAUAUAGCAAGAGCAUCUACAAGCGCAAUUUUUUUAAGACAACCCUAUGGCUCCUGCCGGUUGCCGUAGCAUGGACAUGAAAGUCGAUAUUUAACUACUACAACAUGAUAAUCUCAUACAUGCAAUAUAUCAUAUCAUGUCUUUGGCCAUAUCACAUCACAAGCAUACUCCACAAAAACAAGUUAGACGUCCUCUAAUUUGUUGUUGCAUGUUUUACGUGGAUGCUAUGGGUAUCUAGUAUGACCACAUCUUACUUACGCAAAGCCACAACAGUGAUAUGCAAAUUGCUAUUUAACCUUAUCCAAGGACCGCCUCGGUCAAAUCCGAUUCAACUAAAGUUGAAGAAACAAACACCCGCCAGUCAUCUUUAUAUAGGACACUUCAUCGGCAGUGCCCUGCCCUCCUCGGGCCGCUCCAUGACAAGGACAAUGCUCACCACAUGGGUGGUGGCCGGGAUGUAGGCUAGGAUAGGCUCCUUCUCCUUCGACGCGGUGAGGAUGGGCAUGGUGGAGAGCACACGCUCGAGGUCGCGGAAGGCCUCAUCCAAGAUGAUGUGAGUGCCAUGAUUGUCACUGUAUGCUUGAGUGUGUGAUCAUGAGAUGAUAUAAAGCCAUUUCACAAUAUUGAAUUGUUUUCUAAAAACCUUUACUAGUUUCUGAUCAAGGUAAAAACCCUACUUUGAGUUGCACCACAUGCUUUUGAUGUCAAGCAAUGAUGCUACCCAAAGUUGGUGAUAUGAUUUUAGCUUGUCUUUAUAUUCCAAAACCACAAAAAUAAGUAUUUUUAUAAUCAUUUCCCUAAUUGAAUUACAUGUCCAUUUCUGAGGCCAGAAUUGGUAUUCCUACAUGGAAAAAUACUUUUAUGCCUUAGAAAAAUCUGAUUAAAUUUAGAGAUGAUCAGAAGGACAAAUAUUUUCCAUACAUAAGAUUUUAAACCCUAUUUUAUAUUAUAAUUAUUUGAAUAAAACCCUGAAAGCCAUUUCUGUCUGUUUUGACCUUUUGAAAUAUUUCCAAAGGAAAUAUUCUCAAUAAAAUCCUAGAAAAUUCCAGUGGUAUCCCUAAGUCAUAUUUGGUGUCCACAUAAAGUUUCACCUUGAUCCAAGGUGAUUAAGAACCCCAAAUAACCCUAAAACCCCUUCUGUCCAGAGUGAAGUUAGAGCAACUCUACAUAACAAGUUUGUCCUAGGACGCUGAAUUUUUGCACGAGUGCCUAAUACCUCAAAUGAGGAUUCCACACCAAAAAUGGGAUUUGUGGGACUUAGUUUGCCCACACUCUCUUAGGAAGGGACAGAUCUAGUCAAAUGGAAGUGUUUUCAAGUUUACAAAGCUAAACUUGUCCAAUGGAGCUCAAACUUGGUGAAACCCCAUGGUUUAGCACCAAACCCAAACUUGUUAAGUUGAAGCACCAGUGGUGGGGUGCAACCCCCUCAAACCACUGUCGUUCACCUUAUGGCAGAUAGGGAAAAUCCACCUUAGCCACAGCUAAACCCAACCCCUUUGCUCCAAACUCAUAGAUUAGGUGGCCAGUAUCCAUAUCUAAGCCCAGUCAACUGGCCCCUCACUGGUUCAAAGUGGAAAGGCCAAAAACUCCAAUUUAGGCUUCAGUUCAAGGCUGACACCACCAGUAUUUCUUGUCUCCCUUGACGAGUCAAAGCUCCCACGAGACCCGAACGGCUAGCCACACUCCCAGCCAGUGCCAGGACAUGCUAGACACGUCCAAAGUGCCUCAGAGUGCACCAACAUGCCGUGGCAUGCCAAAACUGCGCUCUGGGCGCACUACAGGAAGCCACCGAGGUGGGUGCGACGCUCUCGGCCAGUUCCAGCCUCCCCCGAGCUGACCAACCUCUUCCCCAACAACACCUCUGCGUCAAGCAACCCUCAGGGCCCCUCCUUCCCCCACGCUAGAGCUCGUGCGACGCGUGCCCGCGCGUACCAGAACCGGCCAAGGUUGCGCGGCCACGGAUGCUCGACUCCUCCCUCUCUCCCUCUGCAACAGAUGGUUCUAGUAGUCCAAAACCAUGUCCUGAGACCGUGGUUUUGACCCCAGGACCUCUCUGCACCCCCAUGCGUGCCACGGUGAGUCACCGGCGCUCCCGAAUCGGCUCACCGCCGCGGGCCAAUUUAUAGCCCUCCCCCUUGCUCCAGCACCCCUCAGAUAGCUUCACCACGACCACUAGCACCUCCCUAGCCACCCCAGCAAACCAGCACAACCCUGGUGCUCGAGAUCGACCGAGGCCCCUCCGCCUCGGAGCUCCGGUUGAUCUCUGGCUACACGACGGCUCCUACGCCCGUCGACCCACCAAACUGAUCCCCUCAACCCCAGGAAGCUUCCCGCAACUCGCCCGAGCAUUUCCGUGCCUCUAGCCAUCUCCUCGACCACCUCCCGUAUCUCCUCCGCCGUGACCUCCUCGUCGCCGGUGAACCCCUGCCUCUGCGACGUUGUUCCGACCACCAGCAGGUAGGGGACAUCAUGGCGAACCUAUUCCAGCCCUUGUUGGGGACUUGAGAGCGUCGGCAGCCUCGCCGGCGUGCUCCUCCUCCCCUCUGGCCAGAGGUAGGAGACGACCCGGACAGGUGUGUCCCACCUGUCGGUGGCCCAGCCUCCUCCCCUGCGCUGCCCACAGCCACUGACCGCAGGUCCCCGCACGUCAGGUUCAAACCUGACGGCGCACGUGCCUGGGCAGGCUGUCGGCUGGCCAUGGGCCAACCCAGUUUCAGGCCGAGCCAGGCCAUGGACUUAGCCCAUUUUCUUUUAUUUUAAAAACCCGAUUUCUAAUAUUUUUAUAAUAAACAUUUAACCAGUGUAAAAAAUAUAAUUUUUCCACUGUUAUUCUCCUAAAAAUAUGUAGUAUUUAAUAAUAUGAUUGGAUGGAUUUUUCAACAACUAUUCUAUUUUACAAUAAUAAAAAGGACUAAAUUGGAAUAGUUUUGCUUCUAUUUGGUUAAUUUUAAAAAUGUUCCUUCAAGAGAAUUUGUCGUGCUCGCCCAUGGUAAGCAAUACAGCCGACUCCCCCGCCGCCACGUGUGAGUGGCCUCAGGGAGCAAGUGAUGAUGAGAGCUGGGUAGACCCAGUAUUGCCUCACCCGAUCGCAGUCUGUAGAGGUCGGCGGUACGGCCGACUUCACUAUAGCCAUGCGCGCACGGCGUCAUCGAGUGGUUGGUCCUGUGUCGCAUCCCAUCGGAGGGGAUGAAUCUUGACGUAUGGGCCGAUGACUUGGCAGGAAGGGGUCCGUCAGCUGGCGGGUUGCCUAGAGCCGUAGGGAUGAGGACCCAACUGCAAACCAACCAAAGCGGCUCGAGCCGACCCGCCAGAGCAGGCUCCCAAGGGGCCGAGCCGUCCCCGAUGUUUUGACAAAAGGGGCAUGAGAUAAGAUGAGGCUACCCUAGGGUUAUCCCCCACAGUAGCCCCCGAAGCCGGGAGACCACCAUCGAGUGGAACGUCGUAGUGCUUCGGUUGUGGGGAGCGGGGCCGCCAUGUGCCGAGCGCCACAGGCCCGGCCGAGUCGAACCACGUGGAUGACUGGAUAGGGCCUGGAGUUGGGGCCCACCCAUCCAAGACCUCGCUCCGCGUGCGGGUUCUACUGCGACCGAGGAGGCCAUCGGUCGACCUUCCCGUGCGAAUUAACACGCCCAUGCGGAGUGGGGGGAGUGGAGAUCGUGCGCAACCGAGCCAUUCCUCCACUUGCGGUGCGGGGGUUUAAAUGAAGGGGAGGGGCAUGGAGCAGGCACUCCGCCCUCAUUGCCCCCAGCCCCUCGCCUUCCUUGUUGUGCCCAAGAAAGAGAGAGAGAGGACGAGCAAACGUCGCGUGGACCCCGCGAGCGCCACCGGUCGCCUCCGAUGUCAAUCCCCCCAUUCGGGAACUUCUUCCGCACUGGCCACGCCACCGCCUCGCCCGAGCCCGUCCCGAGCCAACUGAUGGUGAGCAGGUGGGAAUGGGAAAUCAGCAACAUCAACGAGGACCACAUCGAGACCUCCGCCAACGCUAUCAGUUGCCACCGCAAAGCGGCGUGGAGGCGCGGCCGCCCGGGGCUGAGCAUGUCCCAGCACCCCGGCACAGAGAAGUAGUGGUCUUCAUGGAGCACUUCGUCCGCGGAUUCGGGCUGCCGGUGAGCACAUUUUUCCGGUGGUUCCUAACCAAGUUCGGGUUGCAGCCCCACCACCUUGGGGCCAACUCCAUUCUGCAGCUCUCUGCCUUCCUCACGCUAUGCAGGCGAUAUCUUGGAAUUGAGCCACAGCUCAACCACUGGUGCCUCCUCUUCUACCUCAAGAAGCAUAUGGUGGAGGACAAGGCGAGAGGGAUGGAGAUGACCACGUGUGGGGCGGCCCUCAUCUACAACCGACUUGAACCGGCUUCCACAAGUGCCGUGGUUUUACCACGAUAGAUGUCCUCAUGAAAGGACUUAGUGAUGAGACCAUCGCAACUCUGUGGCGACUGAAAUAGAUUAAUCGGGAUCAGGAAGCGUGUUUACCCAGGUUUUGCCCCUCCGAUGGAGGUAAAAGCCUACGUCCUACAUUGUGUGUAUUGAUAAUGAAAUCUAUUAGAAGGGUGCUAAUUCGCCUGACCUAGCUCUCGAUCUAUGGUUACUUUCCCCCAUUGUACCUAGAGACUCACCUUUAUAUACAAGACGAGACCCUAGGUUUACAAGAAUCUGGGUCACGUUAUGACUCGUGAUCCGAUAUGUCUCUAACUCGCCUUGCCUUUCAAGCAAGGCCUAUAUUCUGCCUAUCUUGUACCUCAUGGGCCUUGAGCCACCAUCUUCAUAGCGAGAACCGCCAGGCGACUUACUGGAACAGGCCACCUUGCACCUUUGGUCUUGUUCAUCUAAGCCCAUCUUGAGUACAUUCUUAAUCCGCCAUAAUCAUGACCCGACCCAUAAGGCGAGUUAUACGAUGGGGUCAUAUCCCCAACACCAAGGUUCUUCUCCAUGAGUCGGUGAAGAACUGGCAGCGUUCGUUGUUCUACGUGAAGAACAUGGAUCUGGCACUGGACCUCAUCAACCUGCCUCCCUUCGUCAACGAGUAGCCGACUGCGUUACUACAUUGGGGGAAGAAUCGGAAGAAAACUAUAAAGGCGGUGAAUCAAGCGGUCAACAGGCUCCGGGUGCUGACCGGCGUGGAGGGCCUCAAGGCCGUCGACCUCAUAACCACCAUGAUAGCACGUCAGAUCCUACCGGUUUAGCACCGCUCGCACCGCAUCUGCAUCAUGUGGGGCAAGAACGAACCAUGCCAGUUCUCCAUGAAGGAAUUGAACCUCGUCACCAUCGCGAGGCAAGUGAAUCUGAUCACCACCGCCUGGCUGGAAGAGGUGGGGUGGAACUGGGGCAAGGCCCCUUACGAUCUGAUGCAUCCGUCACCCGAGGUACACAAAACACCGUCUCCUUUUGCCUUUGAAUUUCUUCCACCGGCUCUGAGUUACUCGUGACCGGGAUGGGCGAAACUUGUUUGUGGGACUGCAAAAUUAUAGGCAAUCAGCGACCGAUAGGGAGGAUUCGGACGUCGAGGAACCAGAGGAUUAUCAGGGCGUGAGCCAGCGGGCGAGAAGACGGCGAGCCACGAGAAGUCAGACGAGGAGCCGGGGGCAUAGAGUUGGAGGGCGAGGGUGCCAUCACAUGCAGGAUUGGACAGACGAUGACGACCCUAAUGUUGAAGAAGUCCACGGUCCAGGGGGCACGGAGGCCAUGGAGGAGAAUGCCUCCGAGCUGAGGGGGUGGACCCGACGGACGGGUCUCAAGCUGGUGCCCGAGGAGUCGACGGCGGCCGACCGUGCACGACGGAAGCUCCUGGUCGCCUCUAGACCGGUACCCAAGUGAGCAAUCGAGAUGCAGCCGGACGGCGUCCGCAGAGGAGGCGGGAAGAAGGCGAGCAUCGCCCCCUCAGGAAUGGCUCCGCGGCGUGCGAUCCCUACAACCAUCGGGUAGGUCACCUUUGAUCGUUCUAUUUGGUCUUUUUCUUUCUCGUUCUUUUCUUACCCCAUAUUCCUCACUGCGUAGAGCCCCACGUGCCCUGGGAANNNNGCCACGGAGGAGUGGGAACACGCCUCCUAGUGAGAGCAAGAGGUUGCUGAGUGAGUGUGGGCGACGAAGUAGCGCCUCUGGUGGGAAGACGCGAUGAAGGGGUCCAGGCUUGAGGCGGCCCGUGCCGAAGGAGCGGACGAGUCAACGCCAUGGGGGAACGCCCCAACCACGUGGUCGUUGCGCGUGGGAGGACAUGCCGAAGCCGGUGCCAGUGCCACGGUGGAGGGGCAUGCGGCCGCCAACGCGGAGACAACCCCAGCUGGGGAUGUACAAGACGUAGAGGUCCCCCAUGGCCUGAGGGUGACCGUGUGGGCGACCCCAAUGCGAGCCGGGACGAUGAUGGAGGGUCCUGGAGGGAUGAAGUCGGUGGUAGCGACAGCGCCCCGGACGUCAUAAUGCCAGAGCCGGUGGGAGCCCUCCCGACCCACUCCAUGCAGACGCUGCAGGGACCUAGUAUUGUGGCACCGAGUGGCAUGUUGCCGUCCGGCACCGGGCCCCUCAUGGUGGUGCCGGGGGCCGGGGAGGUUCACACCGAGCGGAGCUGGAGCCGAUUCUUGCACCUAGCCGUAGGAGUCAUGGGCGAUGGCGAGUGACUCCACGAGCACGCUUGCGGCAACGGUGCGCGCGAUCAAGGCACAGUUUGCCGACUACGAGGCACAGGCGAAGCUGGAUGCUCACAGGGCGCUGGGCUGGAUGGCUCAUCAGGAGCAGUCCGUGGUGGUAGGUACCGCAACUUGGUUUUGUUCUUCAUGAUUUUAUUUUCAUAGCUUUCCAGUGGGGGCGCGCUAGCACACCCAUUGCGUGUAGCCCCUGAGACUCGGGCCAGCGGCAAGACAGUCGGGUCGAGUCUUUAAGCAGCGCUUUUCAUGACUUUGUCGCCUGCACGGCCUUCAUGACCAUCGGGUGAGCGCCUUGAGCAAGCUUUUCAUCCUGACUCAGGAGACCGGUGAUCGGCUGGCUGCCGUGAAGGUGGACCUACAGCGAGCGCAUGGUAAGUGUCCUCUUGUGCUUCUUGCUUCUUCUAGGGAGCCGCUUGUGAUGGUGGUGUUGUGUAGGCUCGACCCUUGACUCGGAGACCUUUCGGCGCCUGUUGGUGACAACUGAUGACCCACAAGUGUAGCGGAUCUAUCAUAAUUCUUUCGAUAAGUAAGAGUGUCGAACCCAACGAGGAGCAGAAGGAUCUGACAAGUGGUUUUUCAGCAAGGUAUUCUCUGCAAGCACUGAAAUUAUCGGUAACAGUUAGUUGUGUGAUAAGAUGAUUCGUAGCAAGUGGCAAGUAACAAUAGUAACAAAAGUGUAGCAAGAUGGCCCAAUCGCUUUUGUAUCAAGGGACAAGCCUGGACAAACUCUUAUAGGAGAUGAAGCGCUCCCGAGGACACAUGGGAAAUUCUCUCAAGCUAGUUUUCAUCAUGUUCAUAUGAUUCGCGUGCGCUACUUUGAUAUUUUGGUAUGUGGGUGGACCGGUGCUUGGGUGUUGCCCUUACUUGGAAAAACAUCCCACUUAUGAUUACCCCCUCUCGCAAGCAUCCACAACUACGAAAGAAGAAUUAAGACAAAGUCUAACCAUAGCAUUAAACUAGUGGAUCCAAAUCAGCCUUUACGAAGCAACACAUAAACUAGGGUUUAAGCUUCUGUCACUCUAGCAACCCAUCAUCUACUUACUACUUCCCAAUGCCUUCCUCUAGGCCCAAAUAAUGGUGAAGUGUCAUGUAGUCUACGUUCACAUAACACCACUAGAGGAAAAACAACAUACAACGCAUCAAAAUAUCGAACGAAUACCAAAUUCACAUGACUACUUAUAACAAGACUUAUCCCAUGUCCUCAGGAACAAAAGUGACUACUCACAAAGCAUAAUUAUGUUCAUGACCAGAGAGGUAUUGAAUAGCAUCAAGGAUCUGAACAUAUAAUCUUCCACCAAGUAAUCUAACUAGCAUCAACUACAAAGAGUAACUAACACUACUAGCAACCUUACAAGUACCAAUCGGAGUUGCGAGAUGGAGAUUGGUUACAAGAGAUGAACUAGGGUUUGGAGAUGAGAUGGUGCUGAUGAAUAUGUUGAUGGUGAUGAGUCUCCUUCGAUGAGAGGAGUGUUGGUGAUGACGAUGGCGACGAUUUCCCCCUCCGGGAGGGAAGUUUCCUCGGCAGGACGGCCCUGCCGGAGCUCUAGAUUGGUUCUGGUCGAGUUCCGCCUCGUGGUGGCGACGAUUCCUCCCGAAAGCCUCCUGAUGAUUUUUUCUGGAACAAAACCCUCCUUAUAGCAAAAAAUGGGAGCCAGAGGGGCAACAAGGGGCCCACAAGCCACCUAGGCACCGCCAGGGGGGUAGACCGCGCUUGGCAGGCUUGUAGCCUCCUGGUGGCUCCCCUAUGGUACUUCUUCCGCCCAGUAUUUUUUAUAAAAUCCAAAAUAAUUCCUCGUUGAUUUUCACGGCUUUUGGAGUUGCGCAGAAUAGGUAUCUCAAACUUGCUCCUUUUUCAGACCAGAAUUCCAGCUGCCGGCAUUCUCCCUAUUCAUGUAAACCUUAUAAAUUAAGAGAGAAAAGGCAUAAGUAUUGUACCGUGAAGUGUAAUAACAGCCCAUAAAGCGAUAAAUAUCAACAUGAAAGCAUGAUGCAAGAUGGACGUAUCAACUCCCCCAUGCUUAGACCUGGCUUGUCCUCAAACGGAAGCCGAGAUCAAUAAAUAUGCCCACAUGUUUAGGGAUAGAGGUGUCGACAAAACAAAAUACGGACAUGCAGGCAUCAUGAUCAUAAUUAGAACAGCAAUAACGUCAUAUAAUCUCUUAUGCUAAAGUGACAAUUCCUUCACAAAGUAAAGUAUGGAUCAAGAAUCUUAUUGAGAAUUAACAACCAAUAGCCUUUAGUCAUUGAAGCAAUUGCAAUUUAUCAUAACAUCGGAAAGAGUCAAAUAAGAGCUUGUAAAGCGAAUCCACAUACUCAAUCAUCCUUUCGUCUUCUACAAUUGCUAAAACUCACGUGGUACUCAUGAUAUCAAAGUUUCAGUUGGACACAGAGAAAGAUAGGGGCUCAUAAUUUUGCCUCCCAACUACUUACCUCAAGGGUAAUUUCAACAAUAAUAAUUCAUGGAUACUUACUUACAAGUUCAAUAUGAAUAUAGAUCUUUCCCUAGCACAUGACGUUAGCCAAGAUAAAGGCAAAAUAAGGAAUUGGUGUCGAUCACCAUGACUCUUUUAAGGACAAAAAGUAAAGGUACAAGAUAGGCCCUUCGUAGAGGGAAGCAGAGGUUGUCAUGCGCUUUUGAGGUUUGGAUUUGUGACCUGUUAGUGUGAAGGAACGUCACUUUAUAUUGCCCCCUGUGAUAAAGAACUUUAUUAUGCAGUCUGUCGCUUUUAUGUCUUCUUCAUCACAGGUUCGUACAAAGAUUAUUUUCCACACACUAAUAGAUCAUACAUAUUUAGGGAGAAAUUUUUAUUGCUUGCACCGAUGACAACUUACUUGAGGGAUCUUAUUCAAUCCAUAGGUAGGUAUGGUGGACUCUCGAGGAAAAACUGGGUUGAAGGUUUAUGGAUGCACAAGUAGUAUCUCUACUUAGUGCGGAAGUUUUGGCUUAUAAGAGGUGGAAGCAAGUGUCACAUGCUAAGGAAUAUUGUUCGGAACCAAGCAAACAUAAUUCAUUAUGUUGUCUUCCUUGUCCAACAUCUAGUUCUAAGCAUGUAAUAGUUUAAUGAGUGUUCACAAUCAUAGAUGGUGUCCAAGAUGAUAUAUUUAUAUGUGAACCUCGCUUUCUUUAUUACUUCCUAUUAAUUGCAACAAUGACCAAGGUCUACGUUUGUCCACCCACAACAAGUUUCAAUCAACAUUCUUUUUAUAUGUGAAGUCAUCACUUCCCAUAAGAUCAUAACAUGAUCUUUCAUGCUUUUGUUCUUUUAUUAUUCUUUCUUUAGAUCAUGGCAUGAGGCAAGGCCCUUAACUAAAAUACUCUUUAUUAUAUGACUCAUGAGCUCCAAUACAUUGGGGGUGACACAAAGCAAAACUCAAGCCUAGAACACUAAGAACUUCAUUCUACUAGAGAAAGAUAAACCCCAAAAAGGAUCGAACUAAGAAAAAGGUAAAGGCAAAAGAUGUAAUGGUGAUACGAUACCGGGGAAACUCCCCCAAGCUUGGCACAAGCCAAGGGGAGUUCCCAUACCCGUGCUUAAUUGUCUUCCUUCGAAGGUGAUGGUGGUGGACUUGUUGCAACCUAGGUUUGAUCCUCCGUCUUCCAAGGCAUAGGUGCUCCAUCAUGGAAAGAUGAUCGAGUCUCCGGAAUCCUCAAAUCUGCAGCCAACCAUAUUGAUUUGAAUCUAUACUCAUACUCACAGUUUUGGUUUUGCAGGUCAUAGAUCUGGGCUUGGAGGUGACCAAUUCUGUCAUAGAGCCUGGAGAGGUGCUUCCCGAUGUCAUUGGCAUCGAUCUUGUGCUUGUUGGUGAACUCCGUGAUCAUCAUGUGGUUGGCGUUGAGUCCGUGUUCCACCAUCCCUUGGCACUUGAAGACUUGCUGGUCCAUUGCUUCGAGCCUCGCCUCCACGCUUCUGGUCUUCUUGGGCCCCUAAACAUGACAGAUGUGCAACACCCCCUCACGCAUCUCGAUAGAUUGAGGGUGUUGCGGCACGCCCGCGAGGUAGGGAUUGAUGACCUUCUCGAAGAACUUGUCCUUCGGAACUUUUGGGGAUGCCAUAGCGAUCUAGAUCUGUCUGCACAGUAGCUCGAAACGAAAACACAGGAUAUUUGCGUGAUACGAGGGUCAGACCUUUCGGGAGAAUAUAUAAUGAAAUUUUCCCGACCAAAAAGAGGUACUACGCAAGAAAACGGAGUCCGGGAGGCACACGAGGUGCUCACAAGCCCCCCAGGAGCGGCCAGGGGAUAGGCCGCGCCUGGCAGGCUUGUCGCCUCCUCGUGCACUUUCCGGACUAUUUUAAAUUUUUAUAUUUUUCUAAAAUUUCCAAAACGGAGAAAAUUUGCUACUGGAAAAGUUUUGGAGUCGGUUUACUUACCGAAUCACAUACCUCUUCAUUUUUGGAGUCUGAAAUAGUCUGAUAAAUAUCCCUCUUGUACUCGUCCGGAGUUAUGGUAUUAAUAAUAUUGCUUUCAACAUUUAUGGGAGUAUGUGAGAUAUAAUGCUUGAUUCUUUGACCAUUUACCACUCUCGGAAAAUUACCUUCCAUGUUGUUGAUCUUGAUGGCACCGGAACGAUAUACUUCCCUCAACAAUGUAAGGACCUUCCCAUUUAGAGAGAAGCUUGCGUGCAAACAAAAACUUAAACGAGAAUUGUAUAGCAAGACAUAAUCACCUACAUUGAACUCACGUUUUUGUAUCCUUUUAUCAUGCCACCUCUUAACUUUUUCUUUGAACAACUUGGCAUUUUCAUAUGCCUGAGUUCUCCAUUCAUCAAGUGAUCUAAUAUCAAAUAACCUCUUCUCGCCAUCAAGUUUGAAAUCAAAGGUGAGGUCUUUAAUUGCCCAGUAAGCCUUAUGCUCUAGCUCAAGAGGGAAAUGACAUGCUUUACCGUAAACCUUUUUGAACGGAGACAUGCCCAUGGGAUUCUUAUAAGCAGUUCUAUAAGCCCACAAUGCAUCAUCAAGAUUCUUAGACCAAUUCUUUCUAGACCUAUUAACAGUCUUUUACAGAAUUAGUAUAAUCUAUCUAUUACUUAGCUCUACUUGACCACUGGACUGAGGAUGAUAGGGAGAUGCAAUUCUAUGGUUGACAUCAUACUUAGCAAGCGUUGUACGGAAAGCACCAUGAAUAAAAUGUGAACCACCAUCAGUCAUUAGAUAUCUUGGUACUCCAAAUCUAGGGAAAAUAACUUCCUUAAGCAUCCUAAUAGAGGUGUUGUGAUCAGCACUACUAGUUGGGAUAGCUUCUACCCACUUAGUAACGUAAUCAACAACAACUAGGAUAUGAGUAUACCCGUUGGAUUUUGGAAAAGGUCCCAUAUAAUCAAAACCCCAAACAUCAAAUGGUUCAAUGACAAGUGAAGAAUUCAUAGGCAUUUCCUGACGUUUACUGAUAUUACCUAUUCUUUGACAUUCAUCACAAGACAAUACAAACUUACGGGCAUCCUUGAAGAGAGUAGGCCAAUAGAAACCAGAUUGCAAUACCUUGUGUGUAGUUCUAUCUCCCGCAUGGUGUCCUCCGUAAGCCUCAGAGUGACACUUUUGUAGGAUCUAUCCCUGUUCAUGCUCAGGUACACAACGUCUAAUAACACCAUCUACUCCUUCCUUAUAAAGGUGAGGAUCAUCCCAGAAGUAAUGUCUCAAAUCAAAGAAGAAUUUCUUCUUUUGCUGGUAUGUGAAACUAGGUGGUAUAUAUUUGGCAACGAUAUAAUUUGCAUAACCAGCAUACCAUGGUGUACUACGUGAAGCAUUGAUGACAUUCAAUUGCUCAUCAGGAAAGCUAUCAUUAAUAGGUUGUGGGUCAUCAAGAACAUUCUCCAACUCAGACAAGUUAUCUGCUACGGUGUUCUCAGCACCCUUCCUAUCAACCACAUGCAAAUCAAAUUCUUGUAGCAAGAGAACCCAUCUGAUAAGUCUAUGUUUAGCAUGUUUCUUUUCCAUGAGAUACUUAAUAGCAGCAUGAUCAGUGUGAAUAGUAACUUUGGAAUCAACAAUGUAAGAUCGCAACUUUUCACAUGCAAACACGACUGCUAAAAAUUCCUUUUCAGUAGUAGCAUAGUUUCUUUGGGCACCGUCUAGAGUUUUACUAGCAUAAUGAAUAACAUUCAACUUCUUAUCAACUCUUUGUCCUAGAACAACACCAACAACAUAAUCACUAGCAUCACACAUGAUUUCAAAAGGUAGAUUCCAAUCAGGUGGUUGAAUAAUAGGUGCAGUUAUCAAUGCCUUCUUAAGUAUUUCAAAUGCUUCCUCACAAUCAUCGUCAGAAACAAAAGGAAUAUCAUUUUGUAAGAGAUUGGUCAGAGGCCUAGAAAUCUUAGAAAAGUCCUUAAUGAAUCUUCUAUAGAAACCGACAUGACCAAGGAAACUUCUUAUACCUUUGAUAUUUGUAGGGCAUGGCAUUUUCUCGAUCGCUUCAACCUUAGCCUUAUCGACUUCAAUACCUCUUUCAGAAAUUUUAUGUCCUAACACGAUGCCUUCAUUAACCAUGAAGUGGCACUUCUCCCAAUUCAAUACAAGGUUGGUAUCUUUACAUCUCUGCAAAACUCAAUCAAGGUUGCUGAGGCAAUCAUCAAAAGAAGACCCGUAAACGGAGAAGUCAUCAAUGAAAACCUCAACAAUCAUUUCACAAAUGUUAGAGAAUAUAGCCAUCAUACAUCUUUGAAAGGUAGCUGGUGCAUUACAUAAGCCAAAAGGCAUACGUCUGUAAGCAAAGGUACUGAAAGGGCAGGUAAAAGUGGUUUUCUCCUGAUCAGAUUGUGCAACAGGUAUUUGGGAAAAACCAUAAUAAGCAUCUAGAAAGCAGAAGUGUGUGUGUUUAGACAAUCUUUCUAGCAUUUCGUCAAUAAAAGGCAAAGGGUAAUGAUCUUUCCUAGUGGCUUUAUUCAAUUUCCUAAAAUCGAUCACCAUCCUAUAGCCAGUAAUAAUCCUCUGUGGGAUCAAUUCAUCUUUAUCAUUAGGGACAACGGUAAUACCUCCCUUCUUAGGGACGCAAUGCACCGAACUUAGCCAUUCACUAUGAGCAACAGAAUAGAUAAUACCUGCUUCGAGGAGCUUAAGUAUUUCUUUUCAUACUACCUCUUUCAUCUUAGGAUUCAAUCUUAGGAUAAUCGGCAACUGGUUUGGAAUCAGGAUCGGUUUUGAUUUUAUGCUGGCAUAGAGUGGGACUAAUGCCCUUAAGAUCGUCAAUAGUAUAUCCAAUAGCAGCACGGUGCUUCCUCAAAGUUUUUAAUAACUUCUUUUCUUCAUGCUCUGAAAGGUUAGCACUAAUUAUAACAUGAUAUAUCUCUUUUUCAUCGAGAUAAGCAUACUUAAGAGUAUCAGGUAACUGCUUAAGCUCAAACAUAGGAUCACCCUUUGGUGGGGGUGGAUCUCCAAGCAGUUCAACAGGAAAAUUAUUCUUAAGGAUAGGAUGUUGUUCAAAGAUAACUCUAUCUAUCUCAUUCCUUUCAUCCAUAUGCAUAUCAUUUUCAUGCUCAAGCAAGUAUUGCUCUGAAGUAUCAGUAGGAGGCACAUCAAUAGAAGCUCGAGAAAUUAUUUCAUCUUUACUAGACAACUCUUUUUCAUGCGGUUGUCUACCAAGCUUGGAGAAAUUGAACUCAUGUGACACUCCUUCAAAGCCAACAGUGACAGUUUGCUUCUCACAGUCAAUAUGAGCACUGACAAUAUUGAGAAAAGGUCUGCCAAAUAUGAUGGGACAAAAGCUAUCUUGUGUGGUAGCAAGAACGAGAAAAUCAGUAGGAUACUUAGUUUUACCACACAAGACUUCAACAUCUCUAACAAUUCCCAAAGGGGAGAUAGUAUCUCUAUUGGCAAGCUGAAUAGUGACAUCAAUAGGUUCCAUCUCGACAGGUGCAAUCUUGUCUUUAAUUUCAUCAUAUAAAGAUUGAGGUAUUGCACUAACAGUAGCACCCACGUCACAUAAACCAUGAUAUCAAUGAUCUCCUAUCUUAACAGAAACAACAGGCAUCACUACAAGAAAUAUGUCAACUAACGACCUUUUGUCAGUGACGCUGGAAAGAAUGGUUAUAAAUCUAUGACCAUUUGACACCAUUUGGUCGUAAGCUGUUUGGACGGGUCCUAGCCCCAAAAACUAACGACCAUUUUCGUCACAAAGGUCAUAACUUGCUUACUGGAAAAGGUCAUAAAGCGAACAACACCUGGCGCUGCCUUAUUUCUUGGUGAUAAUGACCAAUCUGAAUGGGCGUUACUAAAUAGUUCGAAUGCACUAGGCUGGUUACGCAGCCACCUCAGCAGCCUCACUUACUUGUCAUUGAGGUAGGACCCAUUUGACAGGCAGGUGAGCACACAAUAAGGGGCCGACAACCGAGUGGGGACAUGCGCGAGCCUCGCUUAAUUCCCGAAAAAACAUGCGCGAGCGGGGACUCAAACCCACGACCGAGCGCUUUCCACUAAGUGUUUGCUACCGCUGGGCUAGAGAGGGACAAUUGCUCAGGUAUCGGUAUUUGGGUGUAUAUUAUAUUAAAUCACGGGUCUCUCGUAUCAUUGACAAGUGGGACCGACGGGGACGACCAACAUUUGGCCAAUUUCUGACAGGGGCCAACACAUAGCCAAUUUCCGAUAGGGGACGAGCAAAUCUAGAUCUCGGGGGCGGCGGCGACCGACGGGGACGUGGCGGCGGCGAUCGACGGGGAUGGGGGCGGCGGUGAUUGAUGGGGAUGGGGUCAGCGACCGGCAGGGGCGGUGACCAGCGGUGGUGGUGCUAACGCCACGACCACCUCACCCAUCGGCAGUGGUGGUGGUGCAGACGCCACGGCCACGACGACCUCGCCCGGCCAGUGGAGGUAGUGGUGGUGGUGCCGCUCGCCUCAGCCACCCCGCCCACUUGUAGUGGUGGUGGUGCCGCUCGCCUCGGACAGCGACUUCGCCCACACAUGGGGGACUCGCCGCCGCCGAGCAUGAGGGACUCACAACCGAGCAUGGGGGACUCGCUGCUGCCGCCGGUAUGCUCUCUUCCCCCUCUCCUCUUCCCCCCCCCCUCCCCUCCCCCCCUCUUUCCCCCCUCUCCCCCUCGCUUAUUUAUUUUUUUCAAAUUGUGAAGAGAAUUUCUAUUGAUGAAAUUGUUAGGAGAAUUGCAGUUAAUGAAAUUGUUACACCUCUGAAUAUGAAGGGAGUUGAUGUAGAUUUGAUGUUACACCUAUGAAAUUUUAGCACCUUAUUUUCACCACAGUAGUUGAUGUAGUACACAGUAGUUGAGAUUUUUCAGCACCUAUGAAAAUUGAUGUUACACCUCUGCCUCAAAUAUAUUUAAGAACAUCAAUAUUGAUGUAGAUCUGAUGUAAACUAGGAAAAAUCUCAUUGAUGUAGAUUUGAUGCAAUCUUUGAAAUGUCAUUCUUGUAAAUUUACAGUGUUGUUAUUAUUGGUAGUUUAACCAAAAUAGUUCUUUGUGGCAGCAUAUGUUGUUAUUGUUAGUGGUUUAACCACAGUAGUUGUUUGUAAAUCACCUUUGUUUUUUUUGUGAAGCACCAUGUUUUUGUUAGCUUUUCUUUUCUCCCAUGUUCACCACAACAUCUGUAUUUCUAUUUGAACUGCUUUUUAUUGCUCCCAUGUGAAAUCAGUAAACCAUGUGAACCGGACUAAAGUAGUGAGAAAUUGGAAAUAGCUGAAUGUUGUGGUUAGGCAGUUAGCAUAUAAAGUUUGUUGCCUACCUUAUUUUCUAGAUUUUUAACUGCCAUUACUGCCAUCCAUUCUCAUUAAUUAAUGUGAUGCACUUAGAUAGAUUUGCUAACUUGCAACCAUUGCUUUGUUUGGCAGAUGGAUAGAAGCUGGAUUAGAAAAGGAGUUAGAAGGUUUUCGAAAGAACAUAUGAAAGGAGUUGAUGAAUUCAUGCAAUUUGUUUGGCAAAUUUUUCCAAGGAUGCUGUCAUUGUUUGCCCAUGCUGUAAUUGCCUCGAACGUUUGAGAAAAGCUCAAGGAGUAGUGGAAGAUCACAUUCUUCUUAAUGGGAUGGCCAGCACAUAUGAUAGAUGGAUAUAUCAUGGAGAACCUUCAGCCGGACAACCUCAACAUAUUGAAGCUGAUACACAGGCCCCUCAUAUGAUGGGUGGUGGUGAUGCUGGCAUUAAUUUUAUGGAAAAUACUUUGCGAGAGAAUGCUGGUUUGGAUGAAGAGGAUGGGCAUGAAGAUGAUAGGAUUCCUGACCUAUUGAAGGAUCUAUAUGGUACUGAAGAUCGUGCUGAUGGGCAAAAGUCGAUGUUUGCUGAGGUGUUGGAGGAGGCUAAGCGCGCAGCUCAUGAAGGGGGUAACUUUUCAAGAUUUACCUUCACCGUGAAGUUACUCCACAUAAAGUCUUUCUACCGGAUUAGCAAUGCUGCAUUCAACGCAAUACUCUGCCUUUUGACCUUGCAAUUCCCUGAUAGCUGUGUUCCCAGGUCUUAUGAUGAAGCAUUGAGCAUAAUCCGCAGGCUGGGGCUAGGUUAUGUUUCAAUACAUGUGUGCCCAAAUAACUGUGUCUUGUUUCAGAAGGAUUUUGCGAAGCAUGACAACUGUCCAAAAUGCAAUGCCUCUAGGUGGAAAGAUGCUGAUGGGAAGAAGUCAAUAUGAUAGAAGGUACUGAGGCACUUUCCGUUGAUACCAAGGCUGCAGCGGAUGUUUAUCUUGAAGAAAUCAUCGUUGGAGGUACAAUGGCACAAGCUUCAGCGGCAACCUAUGGACAAUGUGCUGAGCCAUCUAGCGGACAGAGAGGCAUGGAAAGAAUUUGACAGUGAACAUGGAGAUUUUGCUCCACAUCCAAGGAAUAUAAAACUCGUCAUUGCCACACAUGGCUUUAAUCUGUUUGGGAACAUGAACACGUCUUAUAGCAUGUAGCCCGUUUUUGUGGUACCGUACAACCUGCCACCAUGGGCAUGCAUGGAUCAGUCCAACUUCAUGAUGUUACUUCUUAUCCCAGGUCUAGAGUCUCCAAGAAAGGAUUUUGAUGUCUUUAUGGAGCCCCUCGUAGAAGAACUGCUCUAGCUCUGGACUGGUGUACCUACAUACGAUGCCUCUAGUCUGGAAUAAAAGUUCAAACUACGUGCUGAAGUCAUAUGGUCCAUCCAUGAUUUCCCGGCACUGCACACUCUGUCUGGGAGGAUCACAGCGGGUUAUCAGGCAUGUGUCCAUUGUGACAAAGACCCUUGCUCAAAGAUAAUAAGGAGCAAGAUCUGCUAUAUUGGGCACCGCCGCUUUCUUCCCCGAAACCAUCGCUGGAGAAGAAGCAAAGAUUUUAAUGGUGAGAAUGAAACCCGUGACAGGCCACCUAAAUUCACUAAGGAAGAGUUGGAGCAGCAACUUGAGAAGGUGAAGGAUGUGAGACCAGGAAAGCUUGCAAAGAAAAGAAAGCGCGUGAAACAUCAAUGUUGGGACCGGAGGUCUUGUUUGUGGGACUUGCCAUACUGGGCUGGUCUGAAAUUAAGGCAUAAUCUCGAUGUAAUGCACAUUGAGAAAACCAUAUGUGAGAAUCUGCUAGGGACGUAUCUGGACAUUGAAGGGAAGACAAAGGACACGGUUAGUUCUAGGCUUGAUUUGGAGGACAUGGGCAUAAGAGAAGAUUUGCAUCUACAACAUGAUGAAGCUGAAGAUACAUUUGAAAUGCCACAAGCAUGGUAUACAAUGAGUAAAGAACAAAAGCUAGCAUUCUGUGAAUUCAUAAGUGCGGUGAAAUUUCCAGAUGGUUAUGCUUCUAACGUAGAAAAGUGUGUUACUUCUGAUGGAUUCAAACUUUCAGUACUGAAAACCCAUGGUUGUCACAUCCUCCUCCAAAGGAUUUUACCGGCUGGCUUCCAUGGAAUCAUGGACAAUGAUAUAUAUGAAGCGGUUGCUAAGCUGGGAAAUUUCUUUAGAGAACUGUGCUGCAAAACACUCAAUUUAACUAUUCUAGAAAGACUUGAAAAAGAAAUCCCAACUAUUCUUUGCAAGCUUGAAAAGAUUUUCCCUCGAGCUUUCUUCACCUUGGUGGUCCAUUUGGCGGUGCACUUACCAAAAGAGGCAAUGCUUAGAGGCCCUAUGCAAUACGGUUGGAUGUACCCAAUCGAAAGAACACUGCUUACUUGUAAGCAUUAUGUGCGAAACACGGCAAGACCUGAAGGUUCGAUUGCUGAAGCAUAUGUCGUUGACGAGUGCUUGAGUUUUUGCUCUAGAUACUUUGGUGAUGUGGAAACAAGAUGGAACCGGCCGGGAAAAAAUAGAGAGCGGUCUGAUUCGCAUAGUGGUGAUGUCUCGGUUUUCAACCAUGCCGUGAACUUUCUUGGAGCCUCGCGAUACUUGGAGGCUAGUGAUGAGUAUGACAAGAUGGUUUGGUAUGUGCUCAGGAAUUGUGCCGAGGUUAUACCAUAUAUCGAGUACGUUAUAAGUUGUGCACUCGUUAUUUAUUUACUUUUGCUUGGGUUGUUGGCACCAGCCUAAUAUUUUAAUGCACAUGUUUUGUUGGCAUUGCAGGAAAUGCAAGGAAGAGUUAAAUCAGGAAGAAAGCCAAAUCAAUGUUAUUACAAGGGUUGCCAAGGGAUUUGCUAAAUGGUUUAAGAAUCAUGUUGGAAAGUUGCAUGAGGAGAAGAAGGUUAGUGAUGAUCUAUUUGCUUUGGCAUGCUUACCGGAUAACUGAGUGCGAGUGUAUUCAACAUGUAUUGCUGAUGGUGUCCAGUACCACACCGUUGAUCGUGAGGAAAAAAGGAAGACACAAAAUAGUGGAAUCGUCACUGAGGGGUCACAUGAUCGUGAGAAAUUGACUUCUAUGGUCAGCUGAGAAGCAUCAUAGAGUUGCAGUACAUCUCUAGUGGAGGCAUCCAUCGCUCGGUUGUCUUAUUUCGCCGUGACUGGUUUGAUCUUGGUAGCAAGAAGAAGAGACUCUCUUGUGUCAAAUAUGAUGGCCACUUCAAAAGCAUCAACACUUCAAGGUGCUGGUAUAAGAGUGAUCCCUUUAUUCUAACAGCACAAGCAACAAUGGUGUUUUACCUGCCAGACACUCUUUUGCAAAAAAAAUGGCGAGUUGUGCAAAACUUUGAGCACAGACACUUAUGGAGUGUGACUGAAACUGAAACUAAAGUGGAAAAGGGCCCCGGUGGUAGUGGCCUAACAUAUCAGGAUGAUGAUUGUACAGAAGUUUCGGUGCAAGCUGGUGAUGACUCUAUGGAAGUUCCGGUGCAAAGCAGAGUGCGUAGGGACCGGGAACGUGUGCUCAUUGAUGCUGCAACAGUUGAAGGCGUCAGGAAAGGAAGAAAUGUGGUAGAGGAUGGACAUGAGAGCGAGGAUGAGGAAAACAGGACUGAUCAUACUAUGCUGCAAUAUUGUAGUGACGAUGAGGAAAACAGAAGUGGGCAUAGAGUUCCUGGUUCUGGUAUCGACGACGAUGAGUAGAUAAUAGACAUGAAGGUAAAUAUUGUCUCCUUGGUGAUCUAAAACUAUUACUGCAUGUUCCUUGUUUUGAUUGGUGAUCAACCUUCUCUAUAGUUUUUGUUGUUGUAAUCCUGAUGUAGUUUUUGUACUACAAUUCUCACCAGGUAGCAAAAUGCAUGAGACAGAUGGUUGUAGUGUUGGAGAGGCAGGUGGUGAAGAUCAUGAUGGCUGGAGAGGAAAACUGAUGUAGUUUUGGUGAUCAUGAUGGCUGGAGAGGCAAAAUGUUGUAUUCAGAAAUGGCUGGAGAGGCAAAAUGAUGUAGUUUUGGUGCCAUUCUCUUAGUUUUGGUGAGAACUGUUGGUUGUGAUGUGAUCUUGAUUCAAACUCUUGUGUUGUAAUGAAAAAUAUUGCAAACUGUUGGUUGUGAUGUUCCUGAAGUUUUGUUUGAACUGAAUUGAGAUGUUGUUUUCAUAGCUAUUUUCAAAACUGUUGCCUGUUGCUAUUGCCUGUUGCUCUUGCUGUUGCCUGUUGCUAUCUACAUCAGAGAUCUGAAUUGAGAUGUUGCAUGUUGUUGUUGUUUUCAGAACUGUUGCUGUUCCUGAAGUUCUCAGAGAGCGAGCUGGGGCUCUCUCUCGCCAAAAAAUAAUGCGCGAGCGGGGGUCGAACCCAUGACCUGGUGCUCAUUUCACUGGGUUUCUAACACUCGGCUAGGAACAGGUUGUUGGUUUUCUACUCUAUGCCCACUCUUUUCAAUACAACAAACCAAUCGACACACUCUUUUCCCCACUCGCCGACAAGUCGACCCACUCUUUUCCCACUCGCUGACAAGUCCACCUCUCCACUCGACCCGCUCCUCCUCUCCACUUGACCCACUCCUCCUCUCCGCCGCCAGCUCCUUCCUCUCCCACCGCCGCUGACUCCUUCCUCUCCCACCGCCGCCGACUCCUUCCUCUCUAUCUGUCGGCUACUCCUUCUUCUCUCCUGAGGUAUGAAUCCACCGAAUUCUUCCUACAACUUAGUUUUCUGCUACUGUUUAGAUUAGGGUUCUUGCCGCCGCCUAGAUUAGAUUAGAUUAGGGUUUGAUUAGGAUUGGUGAUGU